Molecule: long non-coding RNA, 54924 nt
Filed under: Ananas comosus (pineapple)
Lineage: Eukaryota; Viridiplantae; Streptophyta; Magnoliopsida; Poales; Bromeliaceae
Description: long non-coding RNA (ACOM_LNC018584)
Source: RNAcentral
UUUUUAUUCCCAGGAAUAACCCAAUUUUCAUCCAAACGCAAAAUUGAUCUAAUCCCCGCUUAUAUCUCAAUUUAUACCUAUCCCUGGAAUAGUCACUUUUUGUUUAUCCUCGAACCAAACGAUAGGCGCAGCACCGUUUGGUUAGGGGAUAGGGAUAGGAAUAGGCCCUUAUCCCCCCCUUUAUACCCAAACACUAAUUUUUUAGCCGAGAAUAGUAGUUCUCGGUUAUUCCCACCAACACCUCCAUUUUUUAUAUAAAACUUUCUAAUAUUUUUCUUAUCCCCGGAAACAACCCAAUUUUCAUCCAAACGCUAUUUUUCUUAUCCCCAUACUUAUACCUAUCCUUGUAAUAGCUAGUUCUUGCUUAUACCCGAACCAAACGGUACUACUAUUAUCAGUUGGUAAUUAACAUUGCUCUACUGAGUUUAUAUAUCUCAAAUAAUAAUAUUAUAAAUACACUUCUAGUUAAAUGUGGUUCGAAUUUCAUUGAAGUUAAAAUCUAUAAUAAACUACUUGUCCGAUACUAUAGCUAACUGCCGUAUAAAUUGCAAGCUUUGUUUCAAUUAAUAUAACUUAGAACGAAUUUUUUAAUCUAAUUAAUAAUAUUGACUUUUUUGUUCAAUUUAUGCUAUCACCUUUUUCUGCUUGGUAUUUAUUUUAAUCAAUAAAGUUUGGGGAUCACCGAUCUAUCCUAAAACUACUUCCGUCAUAACACGCUUAACCUUCUUAAUUUCUUAGGUCUAGUCAUCAUUCAAAAUGCUUAAGUCGUGUUAAGAUUUUUAACCCUAUUAUAUUUUAUAUAUAGAACAAUUUGGGAUCUUACAGUCCCCGCUCCUUAAGCCCUGACAUUCUAAUCAGAUCCAGACUCAUAAGUGUCAGGCGAUAUGAGACUUAUCUCGCUAGUCUAAACCAAUCUUAUGGUAAGCUGCGCUCUACCCACAACAGUCAACAGUAUGAGAGUCUCACUUUUUCCGUUAUAUAAUUCUGACUCAGUCGAGACUUAUCUCAUACUUUCGGCUGGUAAUUUACUCUGAUAUAAACUGUGACGCCCCAACUUCUCAGAAGGUCAUCCAUUCGAGGGUUACUCCCGUUCUAGUACGCUUAACUCUCUUAACCUCUUGUAUCUAACCACCGCCUAAAAUACUUAAGUGGGUUAAGAGUUUUAGUCUUAUUAUAUCUUACAUAUAGCGCUAUACGGGGUCUCAUAUAAAAUCUUAUUUAUUUUUUUAUUAACUGAAGGGGCAUUGAUGAUAGUCAAUUAUAGAGAUAAAUCAGGUAUAAUAUGUAGCCAUAUUUUCUGAGAUGCAUCACACUAAAAAUUAUUAAAUUAAAAAUAACUUCUCGUAUUCCUCCUAAGAAAAUUCUAUUGAUUUUAUCUUUUAAAAUCACCCUCCACAUCCUUUGAUAGGCUUUUGCUCACUCAAAUUAAAUUCACUCUAAUAUUAUUAUUAAAAAAAUAUUAUUAUUAAUAAUGCAGAUAUAUUUGUUUCAACGAUUGUUUAGUGAUAGUUCUAGCUAAUUAACUUCAAUGAAGUUUCUUUGUUAGUACAUCAAAGAUUUUAAACUUCUAUGUGUUCCUCAGCCUCCAAACAAGAUGUACUAAGAACCAACAAUGAGUCUGUGUUACCGACCGUCUCUAGCGCAAGUAACAAAAGAUUUGGUGGUUGAUACCUGAGAUCUCAAAUUCAAAUUCUAGAUAAUUCAUAUUUUCAGUAAAAUUUAUUUCUAAAUAAAACAAACGAAACGAAUAGCAUGCUACCUACCUAUCUUUCAAAAAAAAAAGAGUCUAUGUUAAUAAUCACAGGUCUAGUGCUUGUGUCUUAAAAAAAAAAAAAAACUUCAUAGCACUAAAUUUUAUAGGUAUGAAAAUGGAAGCACAACUUUGUCGAAGAACUCAUCUGCGACUUGUUGAGAUGGUAAAUUGUAUGUUUCACCGUGUGUUCAAAUUAAAUUUAUUUUAAUUUAUAAAUUCUUUUCAAAUUUCAACUCUGUAUUCAUCGUUAAAUUUAAAGAGAAACUUAUAAAAUUGAAAAAGGAGCUCCUGAUUCUCUUUCUUUUUUUCUUUUUUUUUUCUUUGUGUGUGUGUGUGUGUGUGUGUGUGUGUGUGUGUUCAUAUAGUAUGGGUAUCUCUAUGCUCUAGGUACAAUAAUUAAAAUAAAAAAAAACUAGAGUGUGUUAGGUGGUGGUAUAUAGACCCGGUCCAGGUGAUACUCGCACCUUUUAAUUUUGGAUAAUGAUGAUUGGCGGGGAGCGGCUUUUAAAGCACGGGUUGUUUUAUGAGCCGAAAUCGAGAUUGACCGAAAAUCUCGGAACGAGAGAAGCUAAUUAAACACACCUUUGAACGGUGAUCCUCCCAUGAAAAGGUGUUUUGUCACCCGAGAACAGUUGCCACGUGUCCCUUAGUUUAAUUACAUUGUAUGACGAACGGGUGUGAUCGAUCCCAACUAAUGAUCUACAUAUUUCACUUUUACCUGCGCCGUAUCGUUGGGCCAAAUGCCCAUACGUAUGUCAAAAUUCAGCAUCUUACGUAUAUUCGUAUUUGAAUUCGUAUUUUAUAAUAUAUAUAUAUAUAUAUAUAUAUAUAUAGGAUCCGGCUACUAUACUAUUAUGAGUACGAUCGCCCUCGUACUCAUAAGUUGUUUUCGAUGUUAGAGCUUCCGAAUCGACGAUCCACACCGUUAAACAUUAUUUACAGUAUUUAAAACUUCUAGAAAUCAAACAUUAUAAUUUUUCGAUAUCAUUUACCUUACGAUCAAGAGAUCACAAAUUUGACAAUUUUUAACGGCCGGUAUGGAAUACUUUCUAGUUUAACGGUGUAAAAGAAUCGGAAUUUAUUAAUUUUUUGAUAGAAAAUUCUAUUCACUACAUAGAUAAAGUAAAUAACUCCGAUCUUGAAUUGAAGGAUCCGAUCAUGCUUUUUUAGGAUGUCGUUCGAUUUUGACCGUUCAUUUUAUGCCCACUUGAUGGACUUUAUUAUGAUUUCAAAAAUUUACGAAAUUUAUUUUCUAGAAGUUUCAAAUACUCUAGAUCAUAUUUAACGGAGUGGAUCGUCGAUUUGGAAGCUCCAUCAUCGAAAACAACUUAUGAGUACGAGGGCUCCAAUACUCAUAAUAGUAUAGUAAUCAUAGCAUAUAUAUAUAUAUAUAUAUAUAGAGAGAGAGAGAGUUGAGCAUAGGAAAUCUUCUCUAUAGUAAACUGGGGCGUUUUACUAUCAGAGUUGUUUCGAUGAUAGAGCUUCCUAAUUGACGAUCGGCUCCCGUUAAAUAUGAUCUAAACCAUUAUAACUAAAUCUAGAAAUCAAAUUUCACGCACUUUCGAUAUUGUUCUUUAUCCUCUGGUGAACAAAAAAUGAGGCCUGGAAAAUGGAAUAUUCUUUAAAAAAGAUGAUAGGAGUCUUGUAAUCAAGAUCAAGAGUAUAGAUCUUGUUUUUAAAUAGUUUAAGAAUUUUCUAACAAAAAUACAAUUGAUUUGGAUAUCUUUACAAGCCGUUAAAUGAGAAAACGUCCUUUAUCCACCAUUAAAAUUACAAAUUUUGAAACCCUUUGAUCAUUAGGCAAAUGAUGUCGAAAAAAGAUUUGAAUUUGAUUUCUAAACACUUCAAGUGAGUAUAAAUCAUGUUUCACGGAGCGAUCGUCAAUUUGGAAGCUUUAUCAUCGAAAACAACUCGAUAGUAAACGCCCCGUUUACUAUCGAGAUAUUCUAGGCUCCAACUCAUCUAUAUAUAAUAUAUAUGUUAUAUAUAUAUAUAUAUAUAUAUAUAUAUAUAUAGUAGGUCUUGUGUGCUAUUAGGAGCACGGAGGCCUCCGUGCUCGUAAGCCGUUUUCGACGAUGGAGCUUGCGAAUCGACGAUCGGCUCCGUUAGACUUAAUGUUGCAUAUUUUAAGUAGCUAGAAAAUAAAUUUUGCGAUUUUUCGAUAUCAUUUACUUCACGAUCAAAAGGGCUCAAAAUAAACAGCUGAAAAUAAAAAUCUCACGAAAAGUGGUGAUAUAGCAUUAAAAUUUUCAAUCAGAGAUAUUAAUUUUACAGUAAAUAGUAUAAAGAUUUUUCUAUCAAAAUUUCAUCUCAUUUGAAUACUUCUACACCGUUAAACUUACAAACGAUAUACAUUAACCAGUAAAAAUUGUUAAUUUUGAGCCUUUUUGAUCGCUAGGUAAAUGACAUCGAAAAAUCGCAAAAUUUAUUUUCUAUAUACUUCAAAUAUGCUAGAUCAAGUCUAACGGAGCCGAUCGUCGAUUCGCAAGCUCCAUCGUAAAAAACGGCUUAGGAGCACAGAGGCCUCCGUGCUCCUAAUAGCACACAAGACCUAUUAUAUAUAUAUAUAUAUAUAUAGAGAGAGAGAGAGAGAGAGAGAGAGAGAGAGAGAGAGUUGAGCUAUGAUACUUUUACAAGUAUCACCAUCAUGGUGCUAUUAGGUUUUAAGCCAUUGGAUCUACUUUUUUAUUAUUAAUAGCCCUUGGAUUAAACACUAUUCCACUUACCACCACCUACCACCAUCAUCUCAACCUCACAUCUCUCCAUCCAAGGGCUAAAAACACACAAGUAUCACCCCCAUGAUACUUUUACAAGUAUUCUAGCCCUACUAUAUAUAUAUAUAUAUAUAUAAAUAUAAUUAGGCUGGAAUACUAUUAAUAGUAAAACAUUUUUUUUGCUAUCAAGUUUUUAACCAUUGGAUGAAAAAUUGUAGGGCCAAGAUGAUAUUAGUCAGUUAGAGUUGAGUGGUCCCCCUAGGGUUGAGUNNNNNNNNNNNNNNNNNNNNNNNNNAUUGAUUUUGAAUCCUUUCGAUUGCUAGGUAAAUGAUAUCGAAAAAUCACAAAAAUUAUUUUCUAGAAACUUCAAAUGCGCUAGAUCAAGUCUAACGGAGCCGAUCGUCGAUUCGAAAAUUCCAUCAUCGAAAACGGCUCAGGAGCACGGAGGCCUCCGUGCUCCUGAGAGCACAGCAGCCCUACUCUCUCUCUCUCUCUAUAUAUAUAUAUAUGCUCUUUCAAUGAUGGUAUUUUCGAAUCGACAAUCGGCUCCGCUAGAUUUGAUCUAGCGUAUUUGAAUUUUUAGAAAAUAAUUUUUGCGAUUUUUCGAUAUCAUUUAUCUAGUAAUCGAAAAGAUUGAAAAUCAAUAAUUUUUAACGGCUGAAAAUAAAAAUCCUAUAAAAAGUAGUGAUAUAGCACUAAAAUUUUCGAUCAGAAAUAUUGAUCUUGUUGUAGAUAGUAUAAAAAAAUUUGUAUCAAAAUUUCAUCUGAUUUGAAUACUUCUAUACUGUUAAACUUGAAAACGGCAGAUAUCAACUAUUAAAAAUUAUUGAUUUUGAAUCCUUUCGAUCACUAGGUAAAUGAUAUCAAAAAAUCACAAAAAUUAUUUUCUAAAAACUUCAAAUACACUAAAUCAAGUCUAACGGAGCCGAUCAUCGAUUUGAAAAUUCAAUCAUCGAAAACGGCUCAGGAGCACGGAGGCCUCCGUGCUCCUAAGAGCACAACAGCCCACAUCAUCCUAACCGCACAUCUUUUAAUCCAAUGGCCAAAAACUUAGAAGCACCACUAAUUAACUUGGUGCUAUUAAUAGCAUAGUAGUCUAGUUCUAUAUAUAUGUAUAUAUAUAUAUAUGUAUAUAUAUAUAUAUGUAUAUAUAUAUAUAUGUAUAUAUGUAUAUAUAUAUAUAUAAUUGAGCUGCUAUUCUUUUGAAAAAAUCAAGUUAUUGGUGCUUGUAGAUUUUCGGCCAUUGAAUUAAGGGAUGUACGGUUAGAAUGAUGUGAGAGUCCUAGGGUUCAGUGGACGAUUGAUUGAAUAGUAUAAUUUAACGGAUAAAAAAGAUUAAAAGAGUAGAUCUAACAGUAAAAAAUUUACAAGCAGCAUAACCAAACUCUCUCUCUCUCUCUAUAUAUAUAUGGUUUUGGUAAUGAUCCGAUUUGAUUCAAUCGUUUUCACCUCUAGAAGAAAAAGAAGGAUGCUAAUGCUUUUAUAGUGUAGAGGGAUAAGAUAAAUUUUUUUUACACUUUUUAUUUAUUUUAUUAUUAUGAGCUUUUGUUAAAAUUAUAUUUAUUUUUAUUAAAUAUUAGAUUUUAUUGAAUAUAAUAUGACAUAUAAAGUUUGUAUUUGAAUAUAAAUUUAAUCCAUAUCUUUUUAGCAAAUAUAAUAAUAAAAAUUUAGCAUUCAACAUAAUUUAGCAUCUAAAUUCAUAUUUGAAGAAAAUUAUCAAUAAAUAAUAUGAUUUUAUCAAAAUUCUGGCCGUAUUCGAUCAUUUUCACCCCUAGGUUAGAACCGUCUUGAAAUAAUUUAAGUUGAUUAUUUUUUCCUUAAAAUUAAUGUUUGCUUCGAUGUUUAUGAAAAUAAUUUAGAGUAUACAAAAUUUAUUAAAAAUAAAAAAAUUAUGAAAUUUUGAUACUUUUAUAUAUGUAUAAAGUUAAGAGAAAAAUAAACGUUGUAAAUGGAAUCGACUUAAGAAAUAUGCGAUGAAAGCUCUCUAUCGGAAAUCAAAAUUAUAUAUCAUUGUCCAAUAAGACACAAAGUAUUCUUUUGAUAAUUUUUUAACUUAUUUGAACCCUAAACACUAAACCCAUAAUUUUUUAAGUUAUUUGAUAUCCAUUAAACUCAUAAGUCUAUUAAAUCAACCGUUAAAAUAGUCAAAUUUGGGACAGCUCGACCGAUAAGUAAAAUGUAUCAACAUUUAAUGAAAUCUAAUUUUUAACUUCUUUAAGUACUUUAAAAUUAAAAUAUUACUAAGGACUCUGAUUGUCGAACUAAAAACUCCAACAUUGAUUUUAAGGAAAAAAAAAGGAUUUGGGCCUAAAUCCUCUCAAAAGGAUUCUAAUCUUUUGCAAAUUAUAAGUGCAAUUGCAAGGGCACUCAGCCCAUAGGCUCUUUUUCAAAAAAAAUGAAAAAAGAAAAAAUAAAUUGAACACUUAUUCAGUUAAAAAAAUAACAGUUAUAACUAUAUCAAUUUUGUCUGGUUAUGUGAAGUUGUAAUUGUAGUAGUACAUUUCUUCUGUUUAAUAAUUUAAAGAUGGCUUUAUUUUCUUCUUAAAUUAGAUUAGAUAAUUUAAUCCUUCGUUAACUUCUUUGAUUAGAACUGCAUCGAGUUUAGGUAUAAUUCCAACUACUACAGUAUGAUCUCUUUGGAAUCUGUAAUCUUGGGUAGAAGAUGCUCGAAUAUAAAAUAUUGGAGUGAUAGGAAAAGAAAUAUUGGCCAAAAUUAAACCUUCACUUUUAAGUUUAUUAACUCUUAAUAAACAAGAUUAAAAGAUCCAAUUAUAGUGGCCUAAAAUCCUACUGGGUGGAGUAAGAUCUAGAAUCCUACUCCGAAUCAGUGAUACUUCUCGGGGUCCACACUUUUUAUUUUAAUAAAAAAUCGGUCCAACAAUAUCACAUCUGAAAGGAGUAGAUCGAGAAUAUCAAAUUUGACUAUAACACUACUACAGAAUUAGAUUAUAGGGACACAUGUUUGGGACACUUUUCAGUAAAUGUCACAUUUAUACUAAAACUUAAAAACGUAUCUACUAAUGCCUAAAUAUAAAGCCCAAUCCAACCAAAAAUAAAAAAUUACUCUACUCAACCCACCACACCCACUCCAUUUGGCCCGAUUACAAAAAAAAAAAAAAAAAAAAAAAAGAAAAAUCAAUUACCAUCUUUUCUUCUCUCUUCACUCAAUCCACUGAAAUUCUAGACGAAGAGCUUUUACUGUCGUCCUCCUCCGCCACCGCAGCCAACGAGAUAGAGUUUCGGCGGUUGCUAAAUGCUUAAAUAAGUGUUGGUAAAUUAGCAGCACUCUUUUAGAUUAUAACGACACUCUAGACGAAGAGCUUUUAGAAAAAUCAAUUACCAUCUUUUCUUCUCUCUUCACUCAAUCCACUGAAAUUCUAGACGAAGAGCUUUUACUGUCGUCCUCCUCCGCCACCGCAGCUAACGAGAUAGAGUUUCGGCGGUUGCUAAAUGCUUAAAUAAGUGUUGGUAAAUUAGCAGCACUCUUUUAGAUUAUAACGACACUCUUUAACUGUCAUUAUAUACCUAACGACCCCACAUAUAGCAACAUUUUUAAAAGUAUCGGUAAUUUUAGCUAGCAGCACUUUUUUAACAUGUACCUAUAUUUAAAAGUGUCGCUAUAGACCUUUUUGUUGUAGUGUAAGACAAAAUUCUAAUUUUUAUACGAAUAAGAAGAUACUUAUGGUGAAACUUUUUAUAAACAGAAAGUGAAAUUUUGACAACGAUUCAAGAGGCUUAAACGAUCUCGCAAGUCGCAACACCCUGAAACUCACAUGAAAUUUGUUAGUAGUAAUAGCUGGCUCUUCUCGAUCCGCACACGUAGAAAUAGAAAUCGUCUUAAUCAGAGUCCGUAUGUGGAAGGUAUGCUUUUCAAAUGAUGUGAUGUUUGGCCUAAACCAAAAUCGACCACCUAGCUAGAUCCUCCUGGAUCACUUUGUGCAUUUCCAAUUUCACUAGUUGUAGUGCAUGCCUCAUUAAAUAUUGUAUAUGGAUUUGUAUGUAAUUAAUACCAGAAGUGUAACAAUCCCACAUACCUUAUGCUCUUUAUACUGUACCCGCUCCUUAGUUACGAGUGAACUGGAAAAAAAAAAGUGGUGAUUGAGGAAUUUCCAUUUCACUGAGACAUCCGAAUCAGAACGAGACUUUUGCAUAACAAACAUCCACAAACGAAAUCGUCUAUUCUGAUUUUGAUUUCUGAGGCUGCGUUUGGUUGGAGAACUAAAUUUUGGAGAACAACUUUGUUGUUCCCGAGAACAGAAAAUAUUCCGGUACAAGAUAGAACAAUUGUAAAUUUGUGUUUGGAUGCAUUCGAGGAUAUUCUAGAGGAUAUCCUUAAUAGCGUUUGGAUAAAAAGUCUAGAACAAUGUCUAAAUAUAUUUUUAAAAAUAAAAUAAUUAAUUUAUAUUAGUAUAUUUUAUAUAAAAUUAUUUCUUAUAGUAAUUUAUAAUAUAAUAUUUUAUGUAAGAAUCUAAUUAAAAUAAUAUUAUAUUUAUAUAUUAAUAAUUUAUUUUAUGUAAUAAUUUAUUUUCUAUAAGUUUUAUUCAUAAUAUAUUAAUGGAAUAAAGCUAUAAUAUAAGCAAUAUCCCUAUUAUUAAUUAAUAAUUAGAUAAAUUUUAAUUACAAAUAAAAUAUAUGAUAAUUAAAUAUUUAAGUUAUAAAUGAUAGAGUUUACAUAAAAAUAAAAAAAUAUAUUCAAUUUAAUUAAUUUAUUUAUAUAAUAAAAUUUAAGUAUAAAUAUUUAUAUAAAAAUUAGUAUAAUUUCAAUACCAAUUAAUAUAUAUAUAUAAUAUAAUUAUAUAUAUAUUAUUUGAUUAUAUAUAUAUAUAUAUAAUAAUAAUGAUAAAAUUAGAUUUUAUGUAUAUAAGUUACUAUAUAAAAUAAAUAAUAAAUAUUAAAGUAUAAUGAUAAACUUUAAAAUAAAAUUACCAUAUCAAAAAUUUAAUUAAUUUAUAUUAUAUAAUAAAAUUUAACUAUAAUAUAUUAUCAUAAAAUUUAAGUAUAAAUUUUCAAUAAGUUAAAAUAUUAUAUGAAUAUAGGAAAACAUAAUUUUAUGUAUAUAAUAAUUAAUAUAAAAUAAAAUAAUUAAAUAUUAAUAUAUAAAUGAUAAAACUUAAUAAAAUAAAAUAUAUAUCAAAUUUAAUUAAUUUAUAUUAUAUAAUAAAAUUUAAGUAUAAAUAUAUUAUCAUAAAAAUAAUAUUUAUAUUAAUAUAUUUAUUUAUUAAAUUUGAGCAUUCAUUUAAUUUAUUUGAAAUUAAUUAAAAUAAAGUAUAAAAAAUUAAAAGGCUAGAAAAGAAAAAAAAAAAGAAAAAAAAAAGGCCCAAAUCUCUUGUUCCGGCUUGUUCUCCCUAAAAGGGAGAACAAGCUUACCGGGUUGUUCCCGGCUUAACGGGUUGUUCCGGAAACUAUCCGGUUGUUUCAAAAUGCAUUGUGUUUGGAGGGAUAUCCCGCUUUGUUCUGGAAUAUCCCUCCAACCAAACGCAGCCUGAGUGAAAAGAAGAGCGAAGCAAACACGCCCAUUGUUUUUCAGAAGUGGCUUAUGAUCUUAACACAGAAGUGUGAAAAGCAUCAGAUCCAAUCACGGACAUGCGCGCAUGCACGCACGCAUGCAUGAAUAUAUACUUGCUUAUGACAGUUGUUCAAACGACUGAUCGAGCACAAAAAAACAAUGUAUUCAGCCCACUUGCACUUCCCUUGGAAAUAGGGCUUCAAAUUAUUUUGGCCCACAAUGUACAACAAUUGACCCAGUCACCACUCUUCGUGCUGAAAAUUUGGCUUCAAACAUUUUUUGAAAAAAAAGAAAGAAAAAAAAUUAAGAUAUUCAACUAAUCAAUGUGUGUAUAAUACGAAUUUGAUCAUUAGAAAAUAUGUUUUUAGUUAAACAAGCCGGUCACAAAAUCAAACAAUUAAUUUGAAGUAAAUAAUUAUUAACCAAUGUUUCAAAAGGCGAUUGCGACUGGGCUUCUUCAUCCUUGAAAAGUAAAACUUCGAAUCAAUUACACUUCCAAAUCAUUGUCAAUUGGAAAAUUAAAAGAGAAAGAAAAAAAAAGUGUACCAAAAGUUGUUUGGAUAUCAAAAGUUGAUCAAAUAAGUAAUUUUAUUUGCGUUUUCGCCCGAAUGUAAUUAAAUCAAGAGCCACUGCAAUUAGCGUGUAAUCCAGACAUGCAACUCUACUUAGAUGUAUGACAAAUAUAUAAUAAUUCUGACACAUUUUUGGGUCAAAAGAAAACUUUAAUGCUAAUUUUUGAUUUUUUAAAUUUUAAUUCUUAUUUAUCAAUUUUAGGAAGAUGUAGUCUUCGAAUAUCACAGGAUGCAGUAUCGCCAGUUGGUUCAUGUUGCCACCUUUUUUAAUUAUUCGAUACGAUUAUGCGAGAAUCGUGGUGGAUACGAAGCAUCUUUUUUAUCUGCCAGAAUAUAUGUGGUGUGGAAGUGAAGUACUACCAUUGUGAUUAAUAAUAUAAUAAUAAUUUAGAUGAUACAUCACUUCCAUAUAUAUUUAGCUAAAUAAAUUGGGUUAUGGAAUUUAAUUGCAACAAUUUAAAAAGUUCGAGUUAGAAAUUACAAUAAAUUAAAACUUAAGGACCAAAGUGCCAUGCGCAUUAUAGUUUGAGGGCGAAACGUGUAAUUUGCCUUAAAAUAUAAGAGCAUGUGAUUCUAUAUAUUCAAUGGUACGUUUUUCACAUUAAUAUAAAAAUAAAAUCACAAAACUACCCGCUUCAUUUAAUGGAAUGAUAAAUUAGACAAUAAGGGUGAGGCAUUCUGAACCUCGAGGGCUUAAAACUUUUUUUUAAGAAAAAAACAUCGUCAACUGCUUAGUAGUGGAUCCGCAUUGCUGCUUAGUCUUAGUGGAUCCGCAUUGCUGAGAUAUGUUCCUAAAACUUCUUCAACUGCUUAACCUUAUGGAUUGCUAGCAAUGGGUCCGGCUUGAUUUUUCUGAAAGUCAUAUUAAUUGUUCCCGACCUUUCAAAUGACCUACCAGCAGACUACUAUUUUCGUAAAUUAGUUACUCGUAGUCUGCAGACCUACCCAACUCCAUUGCUGAGAUAUGUUGGGGAUAAUUGAUGUUUUGUCUAAAAUAAAUAAUUUUUAAAAUUUUGAAAAUAAGGCCCUGUUUGGAUGCAUAGUUAAAAAACUACAUGAAAUUUUUAUUCUAUAGUUUUGGUCUAAAUGAAAUACGGAAUUUUAUAACUACAAAAAAAUUUCACAACUUCAUUUUUAAACUGUUUGGAAACAGAUUAUACAAUUCCAUAGUAUUUAUAAUAAUUAAAUUUCUAAAAUUUUAAAAUUCAAAAUUCAAAAUUCAAAAUUCAAAAAUUCNNNNNNNNNNNNNNNNNNNNNNNNNNNNNNNNNNNNNNNNNNNNNNNNNNNNNNNNNNNNNNNNNNNNNNNNNNNNNNNNNNNNNNNNNNNNNNNNNNNNNNNNNNNNNNNNNNNNNNNNNNNNNNNNNNNNNNNNNNNNNNNNNNNNNNNNNNNNNNNNNNNNNNNNNNNNNNNNNNNNNNNNNNNNNNNNNNNNNNNNNNNNNNNNNNNNNNNNNNNNNNNNNNNNNNNNNNNNNNNNNNNNNNNNNNNNNNNNNNNNNNNNNNNNNNNNNNNNNNNNNNNNNNNNNNNNNNNNNNNNNNNNNNNNNNNNNNNNNNNNNNNNNNNNNNNNNNNNNNNNNNNNNNNNNNNNNNNNNNNNNNNNNNNNNNNNNNNNNNNNNNNNNNNNNNNNNNNNNNNNNNNNNNNNNNNNNNNNNNNNNNNNNNNNNNNNNNNNNNNNNNNNNNNNNNNNNNNNNNNNNNNNNNNNNNNNNNNNNNNNNNNNNNNNNNNNNNNNNNNNNNNNNNNNNNNNNNNNNNNNNNNNNNNNNNNNNNNNNNNNNNNNNNNNNNNNNNNNNNNNNNNNNNNNNNNNNNNNNNNNNNNNNNNNNNNNNNNNNNNNNNNNNNNNNNNNNNNNNNNNNNNNNNNNNNNNNNNNNNNNNNNNNNNNNNNNNNNNNNNNNNNNNNNNNNNNNNNNNNNNNNNNNNNNNNNNNNNNNNNNNNNNNNNNNNNNNNNNNNNNNNNNNNNNNNNNNNNNNNNNNNNUUUGAAAUUUAAAAAAUCUAUAAUUAAAAUUUUAAAUUUUAAAUUUAAUAAUUUAUAAAUUUACAUAUUUAUAAAUUUAAAAUUUAAAAUUUAAGUUUAAAUUUAAAUUUUGAAAAUUAAAAAUUAAAAAUUAAAAAUUAAAUUAAAAUUUGAAAUUUGAAAUUUGAACAUUUUGAAAUUUGAACAUUUUGAAAUUUGAAAUUUGAAAGUUGAAAUUUGAAAGUUGAAAUUUAAAAUUUGAAAUUUGAACUUUUUGAAAUUUGAAAUUUGAAAUUUUGAAAUUUGAAAUUUGAAAUUUGAAAUUUGAAAGUUGAAAUUUGAAAUUUGAAAUUUGAAAUUUGAAGUUUGAAGUUUGAAAUUUGAAAUUUGAACUCUUUAAAAUAUGAAAUUUGAAAUUUGAAAUUUGAAAGUUGAAAUUUGAAAUUUGAAAUUUGAAAUUUAAAAUCAAAAUUAAAAUUGAAUUUUAAAAUUUUAAAUUUUGAAAUUUAAAAUUUUAUGUUGAAAUUUAAAAUCUAGAAAUUGAUACAUCUUUGGGAGCUCAGAAUGGUGAUAUUUUUUUCCUUUGGUGAAAGUGGAUUGUAAGUUUACUCUAUUUUUUGAAGUAUAGUAUAACUAUACUCCAAAAAUUACAUUAUUUUUUUUUUUCUUACAAACGCUUCAUAGAAUUAUUUUCCUACCGGUGUAGUAUAGUUUAACGAUACUACGUUUUUAGAGGUAUCCAAACGGGGCCUAAAUGUAAUUUCAAUAUGGUUCUCCCCAUUGAUCUAGAUCGAUCUGCGACGUACAAAGAAUCAAAUUAUGCCAGAAGGCAUAAAAACCCAUUCUCCUCGUUGAGAAACUUCCUAUCGAAGUUCUAUCCGACUAGAUGUCUUGUCCACCACUGUCACGACGAACAUCGUCAUUGGAAAGCUUUUCAUUAAAAUUUUAUUGGAUCGUACGGUUCACCACUAACAUGGUGAAUAUUUUUGUUGAGAAGUUUUCCACUGAAGUUCAGUACUAAAAGUCGUGGUGAACCAAUAGGUUCUCACGCGAUAAUUUCCAAAACUUACAUCCCAAUCACGUGCUUUUGUAGCACACUGACACCAAGAAACCCUUAUCAUUUGCCACGAAGCAUAUGUGACAGAUGCUCAAGACAUAAAUAAGCCGAGAUCAGAGGCGGAGAGCCCAACCCCAACAAUUUUUUUUUAUAAUUAAUUUUCUUUUAAAAGUUUCCAGCGUAGCUAAUUGUAUGGCCACCCGUGAAUAUAUUGCUAGUCCAUUUUAGACCACAAAUUCCAUGUUGCCUAGUACCAACAAAGUGUAUAUAGGGACAACACCACCUUUGUUGUGUCUAGGAGGAAAAAAAAAAAAAAAAAAAAAAAAAAAAAAAAAAAAACUAAGAGAGAGAAAGAGAGAGCACCUUUAUUUUGUGUAGGAGAAAAAAAGCAAAGAGAGAGAUAUCAUUUAACCCUCUCUUAACUGAAGGAUCACAUGCAUGCCCUACGACAACCACAAUGUUAGCAACUUAGCAUAAUAGUACCUCCCAUUCUAGAUAUAUAGAGAGAGAGGGGAGGUAGAAAAUAUUGCAUGUACCUAGAGUCCCCAAAUUCAAAUUUAGAGGUUUCAAAAUUUAAAUAUUAACUCUGAUACCAAAUAAAAUAAAUAUUCUAGCAUUUAAGCUGUUCUUUAGUGAAUGGUUAUUUCAUUUUGUAUCAGAACAUGAGAUUGCUGAUCAAAUUCCAUAUUAAAUAGUCACGAUACUCAAUAUUAUUAUAAGAAAAUAUUGUUCAUUAAUUACAUGAGAGAACUAUCAUAAAAAUUAGCUCAUUGGCUUCUUGAGUGUCGAGAUAUCGCAUCUAAUAAUAUUUAUGUAUUCAUGUUGAGCCCAAGUCUAUAAACCAUGAUCCACAAUAAUUUAUACAUACAUAGAGAGGGACUCUCUCUAACCACUAGAAGGGGAUUCUAGAAUGAUCCGUGACUCUCUUUUCACUCUUGUUUUAUCACUUUGAAGAACACAUAAAAUAAUGGAUCAAAAAUUAACUUAUAGCGAUGUGAAAUUGGUUUGGGAUACGUGGAUGAUUAGAAAAAGGAGCCAAACACAGAGCGAUGUACUGAUUGGACUUAUAGGUUGCUGGUGGGUUACUUGAGUGGUCAAAAACAAUAUGAUCUUUCGAAAGACUCCGACGAACUCCCUAUUAGCCGUCAGCAAAAUCAAGCAAUUAAAGUACAUGUAGGGGCAAAUUAUCUCAUCGAAUUAUUUUAUUUAUUUAGUUUUUUUUUUUCACUCAGCUUGCUUGAGACUUGUUGUUGCCUCACCCUUAUAACCUAAUUCAUACUUUUAAUGAAUGAAGUCGGUAGCGUGCUACCUUUAUGUUAAAAAAAAAAAAAUUAACUUGUUUGCACCUGGAGUAAAAAAGUAAAUAACUAUUGGCUUCUUUUUGUCCGUAUCCAACAUUUUUUUUUUUGACGAUCCUUGACACGCAGAUUAAAAACAGAAAUGAGGUUAAUUAUUUUUAUUUUAUAUUUAUUAAUUUUUUUAAGGGGACCAACCCUCGAAUUCAUGCAGGAGAAGCGUGUGGGAUUGUUACGUACCAAAAUGCAAAUAAAGCUACUGGUUAUAAAUAAUUGAAUGUAUAAUUGAGGCUUCAUACGUGGAGAUCUAACCGAGUGAAAAGUGCUUUUUGAAGCAUUUAAUUACGAUUUUCCAUGAGGGCGUACAUUGAGAUUCGUGUACUAACUAUUGAAAACUGGAAAAAUGCAUGCCCUCAGUCUCUCGCGGUAACAUUUUGGAUGCGUAUGUUGCGAAUUUAUUUAAAGUUUUAUAUUAACAAUUUAUGUAGCAGCAUUUCGAAAUAAUUUAGCAUUAUUUUUUUCUAAAUAUAUAAUUAAAUCACGUUAAAAUUUCUCAUCCAUCGGAUAAAUUAAGCACAUCCAAGUGAAAUGGUCGGAAGUGUUGAGUAUAUAUAUUUAUUAAAACGUAAUUUUUUGGCCACGGUAAUUCUGAAGCUUAAGUUUUUCUUUAGGCUCACUAAAUCACCCAAAAAAAAUAAUGUGUAUUUUUCUACCUAUGCUAAAAUGAUUUGGUUAGUUCUUUCCGACAUCUAAUAUCAUGACUAACAUAUAUAUAUAAAAAAUUUAAUAAAACAAAAUCAUGUCCAAUUGUAUGCGUCUCUCGAAUAGCUGCGAAAAGAGAGGACAAGUUUGAUUUGUAUAUAUGAAGACAUUUCUCAUUCUCUGAUCGGAUGCAGAAGAAUGAAUUGAAUGCCAACAUAAAAGUACGUUUUGUAGAUGAUCAAUGUACACCCAAUAUUUAUGUGUACGAGUUCUCAUUCACAUUAUUAAUUUGUGUAUUUUUCUUUCGCAUCAAUGUUUUCUCUUAUUCUUGUCUCAAUCGAUCACUUAAAUUGCACCAUAAGAUAAAUAAUUUGAUAUAUACAAGGACAAACACAUGUAGCCAAUUAUUAUUUGGGCAAACUUGAUUUUGGCCCUUAAUGCAUAAUUUAACUAUUAAGAUCUAAAUCACUAAAAGUGAUAUGCAGAGAUACUAUUGUGUCAUGUACACGGACUUUUAAUCAACUAAACAAUUAGCUUGGAGGUUUGAUCACCGGUUACGUAUUUACAAAAAAAUAGGCCCGUGCUUAGAAUAUUCUAUAUAUAUAUACUAGAAAAGUCAGAAUUUUCCGACUAGAUAUUAAAUAUAUAAUAAUACAAAUAUUAUUUUUGACAAUUUAAAUUUUUAGAGAUAAGCGGUUGGUUCAGUUAUUUCACUGUAAGGGCGUAAAUACAAAGUAAUUAAAAAGAGAGACAAUUAGCUUUAGACCAACCUACUUGACACUAGUAACCACGAAUUAAGGAACAUAGAUCCAAACUUCAAAAGUUAAACCAUCAUAUAUAUAUGGUUGUUCUAAAAUUCCCCAAAUGAAAAGGAUGGUUUUGUUUUACAUAAAACUGGGAUUUAAUAAUCAACUAAAUUGUUUGGUGGAUUACUAAAAUUUGAAUAUUGUCAUGAGAGAAUUAAAAUGAUUAAUAUCAUCUAUUGAUGCAACGUUCCAGGACAUAAGAGGGAUAAAACAACCCUAACAAACACUAUUUUAUCUUAUUGCAUGGCACUCACGAGACUCACAGGGUUCACGAGCUCCACAGCACUAAAAUACGGCUCUAGGGUAUUCUUUCAUUAAAAAGGCAUGGACCUAUUCUCCCUUCUAAAAGCUCCAAUUCUCCACACCCUCGAUCUAUGCAUUAUUAGUUGUUACCCUCCUCAAUCACAACUCUUUUUUUUUUAUUUUGUUUUUUUUGAGAGAAAGUAGCAUGUUAUCCGGUUCAUUUAUUUCAUUUAGAAAUAAACUUAGCUGGAAAUGUGAAUCAAUUAGGAUUCGAACUUGGAUCUCGUAUACCAAUCACCAAACCCUUUUGUCACUUGCGCUAGGAACGGUCGGUCUCCUCAAUCACAACUCCAUCUUCAAAAAAAGGACAUGUACAUUCAACAAUUCUCUCAGCUUAAAUUCCCUUCCACUGCUCUUUUCAAUGAUUAAUUAGGAACAUUCGAUACCUCAAUAGCCUCACAUCAAAUAACAUACGUGACAUUAUAUAUAAACAUAGGUUUAAACAUUUUGAAUAUAUGAUUUGGGCUCAGCUAGUUGGUAAUGCCAAUAAUUAGGCGAAGACUUAUGGACCUUAAUUAUCUAAACUAUAGACCAUUUAGAUUGAGCUAUCCAAUUUUCUUCAAAAUUUUAAUUUUACUAUUUAAUCUUUUCGAUUUGUUUAAUUUGAGUUAAUAAACAGUACUUUGACUUUAAAGUUUCAAUACGUCGUUUAUUUUAUAGAUUUAGUUAGUAUAUUUCAUAUAAUUCUUACAAUUAUAUAAAGUUUAUUAAAAUAAAUAAUUAGUUUAAAUUUUAGGGUCAAAGUAUUGUUCACCGACUCAAAUUUAAAAAUUGAAAAGGUUGGAUAGUAAAAUUAAAAUUUUAAAAGUUUAAAUAGCCAAAUCUAAAUGACCGAUAGUUCAGGUAAUUAAGGUCCAUACAUUUUUCAGCAAAAUUCCAACCAGUUGGUUCUAUGGGAGCUAAACAAUCACGGACAUGCGUCACUUGAUUAUUCUCAGCUAUGGUUGACUGGACUUGACGAUAGCUACUGAGCCUUGCGAAGGAGUUUUUAAGACCCCAACAGUCUCACACUAAAUAAUGGGGGAGUGUUUGAGGAUAAUAGAACGGUCAUUAGGACUAGCAAUAUAAAUAGCUAGUACUCCGUUUUUGGGAACACUUUUGUCAAUGUGGCUUCAUAUACUCAAAGUGUUCAUCUCGGAUCUAUCAAAAAAUUUCAAACUGAGAUGAAAAUAUAGUAGCAUAUAUAUACAACAUACAUAUGCACUAAAUGUGAAUUGUUGUUUUCAUUUCUUGAAUUGUGGAGAAAGAAACAACUAUAUAAGGGUAUGUGGUAGAAAAUGCAAGGAGUACCAUUAUUGUUUACUAAGAUAGAUACAACAUGCAAGACAAAAUACAUAUUGGCUUCUUGUUUUUGUGUGUGUGUGUGUGUGUGUGUGUGUGUGUGUGUGUGUGUACUCCUCAUUAAAUUAAAUUACCACUACAUUACAACUUUAGUGGCCUAUGGGUUCCCUGCAACAUUAAUGAGAGUCUCCGAGACCUUGCCUUUUUCCACAUAGAGUUGCAAUCCACUUGUUUUGGAGCUACGUGUUUCAUGUAUCGGCAUAUAACGGUUUUCCAAGAACGUACGCGCAUUUAUGUGACACAUAUUUAGUAUUCUUUGGAUUAUGCAAAUAUAAGUACAGAAAAAACACAUAUAUGAACAUAAAUAUCAUGAUCAUAUUUAAAUUUGUGUAUUUGGUUUGAUAGUCGUGUACUCUUGCAUUUCCAUCAAGAGGGUGAUCAUAUGCAUUUCAUGUAUUUUCAUGGUAAAUAUGUGAUGGUUUUCUUCGAUACAAAAGAUUGAUCUAAUAAAAAGAAGAAGAAGAAGAAGGAUUUAUAUAGUAAUUAAUGGAGGAGUUCUUUUUUUUUUCUUUCUCCUUGAGAAGAGGAAUUAAGAAAUAGAAUUCUCAUAAACGGAUCAAAUUUAAAUAGUAAAUAAUAAUCAAAUCUAAUGAAUAUAUAUAUCCCUUAAUAUAAAAAUCAACUCCGCUAAUAACAUCGUCCAAAUCUAAAUGCCUACUAUUUUUAGGUUAAGAUAGAUAGAUUGGGCUCUAGGAAAGUAAAAUUUGCUUUUGUCAACAUGUACAAAUAAAAGUAUUAAGCAGCUAUUUGAUUAGGUGUAAAUGGAAGGAUGAAACUCAAGUUCCAUCACUUCCGGUAUUUAUUCUGUUGUAAAUCAAAAAAAAAAAUGUAAUUCAAGUUACGUUAGACCUCCACUUCACCUUUUCUUGAUUUCAUUCUCUAAAGUAUCGAACUCAAGUUCCACCAUAUAUACUCAACUUUCUUUAAAAAAUUUAUUAAAUUUUAAAACCUAAACUUUACUUCCUUUAGAAUGAAUUAGAUUUUUUUUUUUUUUUGAGAAAUAAGGUAGGAAGUUACCAGUUUCAUUCAUUAAGUAAACUGAACUGAGCGUACAGAGAUGGAAGCAGCUUAAGAUCACUUCCAAAUGAGGUAGAGAUGGAAGCAGCUUAAGUAGAAUGAAUUAGAGUUACUUUCCAAAUUAAUGAGGGAUUUAAUUAUUUAUUAGGUUAGAUUUUAUAGCGAUAAGUUUACUACUAUAUUUAGAAAGUAACAUGAUUCACUUACUUUUUUGGGAAAACUUCAAAAACCCCCCCUGUGGUUUCGUGCAUUCUCACUUUGCUACCCUGUGGUUUAAAACGUAUCAAUUUAUCCCCCUGUGGUUUCAUUUUUAUCUUUUCGAAAGCUUUUUCGUUAAUAUUUCGUUAAAUUAUAUACAAAAAACUUCAGAUAACCAUCUAUAUUUAUCGAAUAGUCACUUUAGUAUCCUUUAAUUUUAACUUUGUCACUGAUUUUAAAAAAAAAUAAUAAUAAAAUUGAUAACAAAAAGAUAAAAACGAAACCACAGGGGGGCAAAUUGAUACGUUUUAAACCACAGGGUAGCAAAGUGAGAAUGCACGAAACCACAGGGGGGGUUUUUGAAGUUUUUCCUACUUUUUUUUUUUGAGAAAAAGGUAGCAUGCUACCCGCUUCCAUGAUUCACUUACUUACACCAAGAAAAAUAAUAGAACUCAAAAAUCUAAUUUUAUUAGUAUCAAGUUAUACCAAAAUAAAUACAAAAGGUAAUUGAAUUUAACUUUUAAACUGUAUGAGUUAUAUCAAAACAAAUAAUAGAAAAACAACUACACUUUAGAAAAACUCAAAUAUCACUACACUUAAGUUAUAUUGUAUUUAAAGAUUCGUCGAUUCAAACGCCCCCUAAGUGUACUCACGGUAUAUAGCUAGGGAUUACAAAUGAUCAUCCCUAAGAUUAUGAAAGGGAAUGGACAUGUUGUAAGUAUCAAAAAAAAAAGAAAAAGAAGAGGUUACGUUAGCCAACAUGAUUUUGAUAAUGACGUACGUAUCAAAUUCAUUGAUUCUAAUCAAAUUUAAUCAACGAAUAACAACUAAAUUUAACGAAUCACAUAUGCCUAUAUCAAAAUCAUAUAUGUUAAAAAAGUGUGGUCCGCUGUUAGGUUUUUUUUUUUUUUUUUUUUUUUUUGAGAGAUAGGUAGCACGCUACCCGCUUCGUUUAUUUCAUUUAGAAAUAAACUUAGUUAGAAAUGUGAAUCAGCUAGGAUUCGAAUUUGGGUCUCGGAUACCAACCACUAAGCCCUUUGCCACUUGCUUUAGGGAGAGUCGAUUGGUCCGCAGUUUGUUAAACGGUUUCAUCUUUGUAAACUUACGCUAGAAAAAGAAAAAUUGUGAUACUUCCAACAACAGGAAUAAUAGGACAAUGGUAGGGUAUGUUUUCUUGUUUAAAUACUUGUCUUAAUGCUAAGAAUUUGUUUGGCUUGUGUUGAGGGUUUAAAAUGGAAGAAUCUAAACGCGAAAAGAACAAAUAAACAAGUUGAGUGUACAAAUUUGUUACAUUAACAAUCACAGUGAAGGACAAUGGAUAUUGAUUGAACAAGUUUCCAGAAAUAUAGAGGUUGAGAUGAUGCUUUUGGAGGAAUGUGAUAAUUGCUUAGCUACAAAGUUAGAAAUUAAGGACGUGUUUGGUUCGCUUUUUUUUUCACUCUGGAAUCGGAAUCGAAAUGAGUGAAUUCGUUUGUAGAUGUUUGGCACGCGGGAGUCCCAUUCUGAUUCUGAUUUUCGAGUGGAAUGGGAAUUCCCCAAUUUUCUCUUUUUUCAAUCCGGCCUAGGAGGCCGGAUUGGAAGUUGAAUCCGGACGGAAUGGAUAUUUAUUCGGAUUAAAUUUAUUUUUUCAACUUUUUUAAUUAAAAUAUGGGUUAAAAUUUAAAAAUUAAAUAUAUAAUUUUAAAUUUUAAUUUGAACUUAAAUUAAAAAUUAAAAUUUAAUCAAGUAUUUCGAAUCUAACUUAUGAAUUUGAAUUUAAAUUAAAUUUUAAUUUAUAUAAAGUUUUAUUCAAAUUUUAUUUCAAACUUAAAUUAAAUUUAUGGAUUCAAAUUAAAAUUUAAAUUGUAAUUUUAAGUUUGAAUUUGAAUAAAUCAAAAUUUAAUUUCAUAUUUUGAAUUAUCCACUCAACUUCAAAGUUUAAUUUUUUUUUAAAAAAAAUAGAUUUAAAAUUUUGACAUUAUUUCAAAAUUUUGAUGUAAAUUUUUAAUAUUUAAUAUUUAAUUUAAAUUUAAAUUAAUAUAUUAUAAAGAUAAUGUUAGUAUAUUAAUUUGAUUACGUUUUUUGUAUCUAUCUGAACCAAACACCUACAAUGGGAAUGAUUUAUUUCGAUUCCGAUUCAGGUGAUAAAUCAAACAAAAUUAGGUAAUGAGUCAUUCCGAUUCUGAUUCCGGCUUAUUUUGAUUCCGUUUUCGAUUCCGACUCCGACUUCGAACCAAAGACGCCCUAAGUAUCGAAUGUGUUAGAACGAAAUUUCAACUGUAGGAUAGAUGGGUUAGGACAAUAUUCGAUCUCCGCUGUUUGAUGAGCGAUAAUAGUGGCUCUCCGUUAGGAAAGAUAUAAGGAUCCUGACCUUUUAUUUUUGCGAUUCAUAAGUAACUCUUUGAGGCUAUUUUUCAGUAGUUUAGUUUUCGCAUUUUCUGCGGAGAGUGGAGCAGUUUAACAUAGCUUUUUAUCCAGAUCUCAGGAUUUUAGAGUUCCUCAUUUGCAGCCAAGAUACAAUCAGAAACCGGCCUUCCGAAUUCGGCUCGAGCCAAGCGGUCAAACGUCGCGUCUUCUGGUGAGAUCAAGUCACAACAAAAAACUCGUGACGAAAGAUUCGAGUCUCCAUACAUUGUACUCAUUUUCGUUAACUGAAUACAAAGCUUUCCUUUUCACCUCUUUUCGGCAAACAAAAUGUAAUAGAAUGAGAAAUUUCUAAAGCUGUUGAACAUAAAUAAUAAAAAUACUGUUCUAUAGUAACUUAAACUAUUGGAGAUAAACGAUUGUUUUCAUAUAAUAUAAUAGUUAAUUUACAUUUUCACUCUAUUUUUUUUUUUCAUCAUUAAGUGCCAAGAAAUUUAUUCCUGAUUUUGAUAAUGGAUAUUCAUUUGUAAAUGAAAUACCCAAGUCCUAUGUUCUACGUACAGCUCCUCUCCGGACCUUAUAACAUCAAAAUUCAAACAAAUUAAGUCCCUUCCCUUUGUCAUCAAAACAAAGUUUGUAGUUUACUUAAAUCUCUAUGUAGCUCUACGAUCACCUAACGUUUUUGUGCUCAAAAAUUUACCUUCAUUCUCUUAUAGAAGUUUUGUGUUGAUAUGGCAAAUAUUGUUUGCUUCUGACGUCGACAUUUGUACGUACUAAUUAACGGACUUUUUAACAAAAGGGACUUGAUUGAAAUUGUUAAAAAGCUUGGACCCAAUCAGAAUGUAUAAGCUCCGAUGAAGAUAUUACCAAAUUAAAGAUCGAUCUAAUAAAAAUGAGCUUAGAAUUAUGUUUAACACACUGUGCACGAUGAAUAUAAAAGAAUGUGCAUGCAAUCAAUGGGUGCAGAUGGAUAUGGGGAUUUAAACUGUUAAUUAGGUGUAAUGUAGAAAUUUAAGUACAUGUUAAUUAUCGAAAGCAGAGAUUGAAUCCAUAACCUCAAGAAAUGACAAGGUUUAGAAUCAAUUCUGAAUUUUUUUUUUUUUUUGAGAGAGAUAGGUAGCACACUACCCGCUUCGUUUAUUUCAUUUAGAAAUAAACUUAGAUAGAAAUGAAAAUCAACUUGGAUUCGAAUUUGGGUCUCAGAUACCAACCACCAAACCCUUUGCCACUUGCUCUAGAGACGGUCGGUAAUUCUGAUAUCUUAUUAUUUAAAAGAUAAGGUGCAUAACAAGAGUGCUUAUAAAUAUAUUUCCGAGGAGCUAUUCACACUGAAUAAACUGAAAGAAACUGACAACAUAAGGUGUGUACCAAACUUCAAUAUCCCAAAGAAGCAUUUCAAUAUAAAAAAAAUUAUCAUAUUGUCCUUAAUUAAUUAGAUUCUUUAUCCUCUUAUAUAGAUUAAUAUAAUUAGUUUAGGCAUUAUUUGAAUACACGAAUAUCUUAUUUGAUAUAUUUUCUUAAUUUACUCAAUAAACUCAUACAUUUGGUAUAUAAAAAAAUAUGAACAUAUGUUUAAAAUUAGAUACCAUAUGCAAUUUUCAGAUAAUUUUUUCAGAAUAAUAAUAUAAAUUACUUCGCAGAUAAAAUAUAUCAUUCUAUCAAAUUAUUAAUAUUAAGAUCUUUUAAGAAAAAAGAAAUUAAACUUCUUUCUCACCACCAUAUUUAAUUUUUAGAAUAAGUUAUUCAGAAGCCUAAUCCUAAUCUCAGAAUAAUAUAUCUUAGGUGUUAUAACAGUUAAGUAUGACUGUUUCAUUCCCUUCUGUUGAAAUCCGAACGGCGAAAAAUAGAUCCAGAAAAUAAUUUAAUACAAGAAAAGAUAAGAUAAGAAAAGAACACACCGAUAUUUACGUGGUUCGGCCAACGGCCUACGUCCACGGGCGAAGACGGAGCAAAUAAUUUAUUAAUGUCGAAAAGGCGGAGUACAAGAAAGAUCUCUCAAAAGACCAAAAUUUAAUUAGGUCCGAACGCCGCAACAAGCUACUCCGAAAAGAGCUUCUCUAAGAGCUUCUCUCAACCUAAUCUGUACGGAUUCCAAAUUAGCACUAAUUAGUGCAUACGCUCCUUCACCGGUACGGACUCCCAAAAAAUUGGCUUCUCUCUCACCACCCGUACGCGGCCUUAAUUAAUUUGGAUGGAUCUUAAUUGUGUCGCGGCAUCUUAAUUUGGUCGCUACAGGAGUUUCGGCUCCUCAAUGCUCUAUAUAUAAUAUAUACUAGAGCCUUAAUUAGAGUCGGAUUCAUCCAAAUUAAUUUGAGUCUAACUCAAAUUAAUAUUGCCGUGACCAAUGGCAAGUUGCCAACUCAUUAUUUGUACCGAAUCUCAAUUCUAAUCUAUUUCAACUUAAUCUUUGCUCCAUAUAUGCCAAUUUAUAUAAUCCCUAAUUAGAUUAGAAUUUAUCCUCAAUUUAGAUAACUACAAAUAUAAACCAAAUUAUAACACCUCUCUCUCUUCAUGUGUGUGUGUGUGUGUGUGUGUGUGUGUGUGUGUGUUGGUUGAGAGUGGACAAAGUACGUUACUGGCACCCGUGACCGUUGCAUGUGAUCAGGAGGAGCUGUUGUGAGCAGAGCCCUCCCAUGGACCCAUGCCCCCUCACUCACGUGUCUCCUUUUGGCUUUUGCAACCAAAUACCCACUAAUACUCCAAAUGAACAAAAAAUAACUAGUCAAUUAAUCCACUACAAAAGACCUCUAAGCAUAUACCAUUCAUCUUACCCAACAAAAUUGAUGCGCUUGAAAAGUAACUUAAAAAUAAUUUCUUAUUAAUGCAGAGAAUUUUUAUCGGUAUAUGAAGUUUGAGAUGUCAGUGUACAUCAGUAACCUAUAAUGACAUAAUGAUAUUUUACAGUUUACCCAACUCAUUUCUCUACCUCUAAACAGGUAUGUUAGUUAAAAACCUAAGAAAAAUUUAUGUGACAAAAGGAUAUCCAUAUAUACCAACAAUGGGAUAUAAAAAACCAGCUAAUCAUAGUACACAUUGCCAACUAUGUAGACAAUUAAACAAGGCAUUUUCUAUUAUGUGGUUCCGACCAUUAGGACAAACCAUCUAUGCCAUAAACAUUCUCAUCUGAGUAAUUAUUUCAAAGGGUUAUAUAGAAAUAUAUAUAACCUCCUCUAUUGUUUUAUGUGGACAUGAGCAUCCUUUUCUUAUUGAAACUGUAUAUAUGGACCACUUGGCCAAGGUAGUCAGAAGUUUUGAGAACUAAUUACUUCAACCAAUUCUCACAAAAAGAGAUGGAAAAAAAGCCCUCUACAAAAGAGAUUCAAUGUGAUAGCACAAGCAAAAGGCAUGAAGGGGACAUUUAAAUUCCUUGGCAGUUGAAAAAAACUUCAGUAUUCUGUUCUCUCAACUGUGGGGCAAGAGUGGAUCAAUGUGGCAUUAGCUUUUAGAGAGAGAGAGAGAGAGAGAGAGAGAGAGAGCCUUUGUAUGGUUAUUUAAACCUAACCUUCCCUCCUCCAACACUCACCCUCUCUUUCUCUCUCUUUCUCUCUCUCUCUCUCUGUUCUCUCUUUCACAUAACUCUGCUUGAUACACUACACAAAGAUACAAACACAAAGAUGAGAAGUUUUAGGCUAAAGGGCGUCUGGGUGCUCCUUUUCAUUGUCCUCAUUGCACUGUGCUCCACAUUUGAUGCAUGUGAAGGGAGAAGAGGCAAGCAUUGGAGGGCAAACAGAGCUCCCUAUACAUCCUUGGCUAAGAAGAAAACUAAAGGAAAGGUGGUCGGAGGCGGCAGCGGUCGCCACCGUAGCGGCAGCGGCGGUAGCCGUCGAGCCCAUGCCCGAGCACACCGUCAAGCCCAAGUCCGGUUUCGCGGCCUAGAGUUGUGUUUGAUGUAGUUGAGUAUGGAGCAAAGGGUGAUGGAUACACAGAUGACACUAAGGUGGCCUACAUUGUUCUUUCAGAUGCUCUAAUUGAUUCUAACUUAUUUAUUAUGUUUAAAUUUAAAUUAGUUUUGUGUUAGCUUUUUAACAAGAUAAAACUAAAAUUUUUUAACCUUGAAUUUUGGAUUCUUUAUUUUGCUUUAAUACCUUAACUAAUUAAUUGUUCAUGAAAACUGUGAAGAAUGAUUUACCUCCAUGUCCCUGUUUUAGACAGGGGCGUAGGCAGAGUCACAAGAUGGAUUUUGUGUACUUGCUUUGUCGUUUUUCCAUGAUAGGCAUGAGAAAAUAAUAUUUUCCUUAUUCUAAUAUUUGUGUUUUUUCAACAAAAAUAAAAAUAAAAAGGAAUCCCUUAUUUUAAAGUUGUGUGCUGUAUCAGUGAAAUGAUAAGUUGUUCCUAAAACAUUCUGAAUUAAGAGCAAUAAAAAGUUUGAUUACAUAUAUUAGAAAUGUAGAUAUCACUGUAUUAUUGGUUUUAUCUCAUAUGCUAUGCAAAUAACAACAUGCUAUAAACUAAUUGACAAAUUUACUUCAUUUCUUCCUUCUUUUUUUUUCAACCAAGCCGAAAAGCAGUUUUACCAAGUAGUUGGUUCCAUGUAAAAUGUUUUCAAGAGUUUUACAUAUUUUAAGAAAAACCGGCAUUUUCCUACAUAUAAAUACAAACAUAAAAAUGAAAACAUGUAGCUCAAACAGAUAUAUACCAAGAACUAUUUUCAUUUUGAGUAUUGUUAUACCGACUUGUACUACAGCAUUUUGCUAAUACAGUAAGAUAAAGGUUGUAAUUGGAUGAUUGAUAAUUAAUUCACGAGAACAAUUGUUUAAUUUGUAGACAGAAUGGUAACUAUACUGUAGCUAGUAAAAAACUAAUAAGAAAGCUGUCAUCUAAGCAUAUCUCUAAAAAGCUGCCAAAAUUUCUAAAUUGACAAAGCAUUUUUCCUAUCAUUUGACACCCUAAAGAACAACCGUAAACAUAAAUUUUAAUUGUUUUGAGGAAAUGAGCAAUGUACAUAUGAUGCAGAACAUAGUGAGAAACAAAGAGUUUGUAAUGAAUGCAGGCAUUUGAAGCCGCAUGGGCGGCAGCAUGUAAGGUGCAGGCAUCAACGGUUUUAGUACCUGCGGAGUAUGAGUUCCUUGUGGGCCCCAUCUCAUUCUCCGGACCUUAUUGUCAACCCAACAUUGUUUUCCAGGUAACCGCAAGUUUUCUCCACUCCAAAAAUUCUCUACGAUGCUGCACCUUGUCAUAGUAAUAAUUUAUUAUUGCACUGUAACAAUAUGGCAAUAAAAAAAAGAGUGAUACCUUUGUCGAUGAUGAACCCGUCCGAUUCAAUCAAUAAGUCCAAUGUCUACAUUGGGUUCAGGUCUCCAGAACAAACUUACAACAUUCCUAAGUAGUUUGUUGAAUUCUGUUAAAAAGUUACUGAGAGAAGGAGCUGAAGAAGUUUUCUCAGAAUAGAGAAAGAAGGGGAAAAACAGUCCAGGACCAUUUUCAACUAACCAUAAUUAUAGGAGUGUUUGUAUGUCCUAACUACACACACCUUUUUUACGAGUAAUUAAUCCCAUUUAUAGUAGACACGAGAAAUUAUCAUUCUAACCAAUUCAAGAUUGAGAAUAAUGCAUAGAACCACAUUAAUCUACAAAAAGAAAAAAAAGAAAAAGAAAAAAGAAGGUAAAUAACAUAGAGAUUUUUCAACCUUUGCAGUUAGAUGGAAAGAUCAUGGCUCCGACAAGUGCCAAAUAUUGGGGCUUAGGGUUGCUACAAUGGCUUGAAUUUACCAAGCUAAAAGGAAUUACAAUUCGGGGCAGCGGCACCAUAGAGGGACAAGGCAGUGUUUGGUGGACCAACACGGGUGAUUACGAUGUUGAUCCUGUAAGAUUCCUCAUUUAUAUACCAUUGUUUAAUUACUUGAAAUUGAAAAAAGGAACGUUGGACUUAGCGCCCAUCUGCCCUGGCUUUAGCUUCUAUCAAUAAUUUGUUUGAGUUAAUUGAAGCACUUAAUAGCUUUUUCAGUUCGAUAAGUUGUUCCAAAAACCAAAAACCAGACCAAAUAAGGGUUCAAAAAGAUAUCAAACUAGACCUACUUUUAACCUAAUUCUCACUCUGCUAAUUGUGCAAUGAUACAUGCCUAAAUGCUACAAUCUCACCAGUUACUGGUAAAACCUCUAAUAAUUCUGUAAUUUUAAGAAUCAAAUUUCAUUAGAAAAGUAAAUAAUGAACUUACAAUGUUUACAUGGGUUGAUUUGUGAGCAGAUAACCGAUGAGCUAAGUGAAAAGAUGCCACAGAUAAAACCAACAGUAAGUCUAGCCUGUUAAACUUAUCCUGUCAUAACUUAUUCUGUCGUGACUUAUUCUGCUGAAAUUUUGUUGCAGGCUCUGAGAUUCUACGGGAGUUAUAAUGUAACAGUGACUGGUAUAACAAUCCAGAACAGUCCGCAGUGCCACCUCAAAUUUGAUAGCUGUGAAGCAGUUUUUGUUCACGACAUCACCAUCUCUUCUCCUGGCGACAGCCUAAACACUGAUGGAAUUCAUCUGCAGAACUCCAGAGAUGUUACCAUCCACCACAGUAACUUGGCUUGCGGUAAAUUUCUCACCUCAUUCAGCUCAACUCAGUGCAAAGUUUAAGAUAUAACCAGAUAUCUCUAGGUGAAAAUUAUACUCAUUUUUCAAAAAAUAAAGCUGGAAACUCAAAUUACAACUUUCAAAAUCAAAAUUUUCAGGUUUUUCUGCUUUCUGAAAGAUUGGUGUAUCUGAAAAUUGUCUAAGUUAUUCAUAAAGAAUCACCCUAUUCUCAACUUUCAAAGGAAAAAAAUAAAAUAAAAUUGUCUAGGUUGUUCAGGCCCAUUCCAUUAUCCAUUAGUUGGAUUUUCCAGUAAAGUAGCAUCUGAGCUUCCUAGCUACCUCUCAGACACAAUGGAGUUGAGGAAAAUUGGACCAGGAGUCAAUCUGUUUGGAACAUCUCAAUUUGGUCCCCAACCUUCUACCUAUCAUUAUUAGGUCACUGAUGACUGACCUCCAUAUACCAUUGCAAUCUUGCCCUUUCAUUGAAUUCCCCAUAGAUGGAAAUGCCCCCACAUAAUCGCCAUAGAAGUCUGCAUGGCAGCUAAAUGAUGAUUACAUGGAUGUCGCUACCCAAUGUUGGAGGAAUUUAACAGAAAGAAUAAGAUAGCUAUGAAUGUAUUGGUUGGGGACCUCAUUGUAACAAAUGAAAGGGCAGGGACCAAACUGUAAUUGUUACAACUUGCAAUGAAGAGUUUGAAAUUUUCUUUAAAAACAGAAAAAAAAACUAACUAAAUCAGGAUGGAUGAGACAAAGAGAACCUUCAAGAGAAAGCAGUGGAUUACUUUACCCUUUGAUCCGACUAAGAGACAGAUUCUGCACUGGAUGAGAGGGCCUGCUAAAUUACAUCUUUGGCUUCUCUUACAACAGGUGACGAUUGUGUCUCCAUCCAAACAGGCUGCACCAAUGUCAACAUUCACAAUGUAAACUGUGGACCCGGCCAUGGAAUCAGCAUCGGUGGGCUAGGCAGGGAUAAUACCAAAGCUUGUGUCUCCAACAUCACAGUAAGAGAUAUCACCAUGCACAACACAAUGACUGGUGUCAGAAUUAAGACCUGGCAGGUAACUCAGAGUUGAAUUCCCUAGAAAACAAAUUUCAAUCCCUAAGUGCACAUCUGGCAAGGUUUAUGUUCUUGCUUUUGUUUUUUUCACUUGAGUUCUAUAUUAUCAAAGGCACCUAGGAAUCAACAAAUCUAAGUUCCACUUUCGGUGUUUUGUUAGUGCUACUUAAUUUGUAAAAUCAUUAAAAAAAUAAAUAAAUAAAAAGGUUCUUGUUCUUCUCUCUUAUUGUUUUCUGUCAUCAAACAAACCAUAGAGAUAUAGAGGUUGCAAAAGACAUCACCAUGCACAACACAAUGACCGGUGUCAGAAUUAAGACCUGGCAGGUAACUCAGAGUUGAAUUCCCUAGAAAACAAAUUUCAAUCCCUAAGUGCACAUCUGGCAAGGUUUAUGUUCUUGCUUUUGUUUUUUUCACUUGAGUUCUAUAUUAUCAGAGGCACCUAGGAAUCAACAAAUCUAAGUUUCACUUUCCGUGUUUUGUUAGUGCUACUUAAUUUGUAAAAUCAUUAAAAAAAUAAAUAAAUAAAAAGGUUCAUGUUCUUCUCUCUUAUUGUUUUCUGUCAUCAAACAAACCAUAGAGAUAUAGAGCUUGCAAACAAUCUGAAAUAGCAAAAUUAAAAAAAAUCAUCCCACAGUGCCUUUUUAAUCAGAGCAAUGCUACUUUACACAAAAAAAGUGGGUAAAAAUCUUACACCUUACCCAUUUAAGGGCCAAUAUUUCCACACAAGCCAUCAAUCCUUUGUUUUUUUUAAUAUUAAAAAACCAAACGAGAUGUCUAAACUCUUGGAUGGGUGGUAGUAAGAUUUAAACCCCACAUAGACAAUGCCAAAAGAGCACUAAACAUCUUUCUUAUUAAUCAUCGAUACCCUUCCGUUGCUUAUUCUACAAGAUAUUCUAAAGAAACAACCUCUCCUUGCAGGGCGGCUCGGGCUCUGUACAAGGCGUAAGGUUCUCAAACAUAAGAGUCUCCGAAGUCCAAACACCAAUCAUCAUAGACCAGUUCUACUGUGACAGGAGAACCUGCAAGAACCAGACGUCGGCGGUAGCAGUAUCAGGUGUUGCGUACGAGAACAUCAGAGGGACAUUUACAGUUAAACCAGUUCAUUUUGCAUGCAGUGAUAAUUUACCUUGCUCUGAUAUAACAUUAAAUGAGGUCGAGCUCGAGCCACUUCAAGAACAGUACCACAUGUAUGAACCCUUCUGCUGGGAAGCCUAUGGGGAGCUGUACACAGAACCUGUUCCGCCGAUACCUUGCUUGCAAAAUGGGAAACCGAUGAGCAACAGAAUCCAGUCGGAUCACGAUACUUGCUGAGGGGCAUGGCUUACUAAGUUUGGUGAUAUUGGUGUUUACUUAUGUGCGGUCGUUGUGAUUAUUCCGACCCCUUUCGCACCAUUGCUUCAGGGUAAAUAUAUAUGAGAGUAUGCAGUUGUUACUGUUACCCAAUUCUGAUGGUUUACAUUGCUUCCCUUUCAAGGGAUAUAGAGAGAUUUAAGUUUCUUAAGGGAAGUGUCGGGUUCAGCAUCUCUGAAGAUGCAUACAGGAGCUUCGUUUGGGGAAGGUGAAUUCCUUGUAUAUGGAAAAUUGAAAUAUAUAUAUAGUAGGGCUACUAUAUUCUUAUGAGUACGGAGGCCUUCGUACUAUAUAUAUAUAUGUUUUGUCUCGAAUUCUUAAUUAAGUGACUACAAGAGCAUAAUGGAAUUCUGGAAGGUAGGUAGUUCAGCACAGAUUGAUUCUACAUGAGCAUAAUUGAAUCCUUUUAAGUUGCAACCAAAAUAAUGGUCUGAUAUAAAUUACCAGUGAAGAAAGUUCUCUGAUAAUCAGAUAAUAGCCACAUAAAGGAAAAGAAAGAAAAUGGUUCCCCAUAGGUGAAUCAAAAGCUCAAAAAUAGAAUUGACAAUUAAGACAAGACAAAAAAAAGCACCAAUAACCAUUGAAAAAACAUAGGCAUUACGACAAUCCUUUUUAUACAUAAGAUGUUACUUUAUCAAAGUUUCGAUUAGAGGUGUAAGAACUUCCUCUGCUCUAUAUACUAUAUUGAAGAAUAAAAAUCAGUCAGCAGACGGAUAACAAAAUCGACAACUAUCAGAACACAGAGAAUAAUGUGCUCUCCUUUGCAUAUUAGCAUAUCAGAAUGAGUGGGUUCCUGAAACAGCUGAAAAAAAAAAUUUCAUAAAGUCAAACUCUCAUAACUUGGGAACGGAUUUAUAUCUCAUAAUUACUACCUUUGAGAUAUGUGACAUAACCAAACUGAACAAAACCAAUUGAAGAGUGAAAAAACUAAAACUGGCAACAUAAUAGAUUCUUAGAAUAAAAUUUUGCAGACUUUUAUUGAGGGUGCUACUAUCUUAAUUUGUAAGCUCUCCCACUCAUUUUAUUCUUUAAAUGUUGAACCAUCUUUAAGGCUUUAUCCAACUCCUAUUAUCGACCAUUCCAACUAACCGUCACUCCCAUGCUUAACAAUAAUAUGAACAAAUCUCUUGAUGCUAUGAUGCCUAUUUGCUCUACCAGCAAUAUCUAUACCAAAUUGGUCAUAGAGCAAAAGAGGCUUGCAUUAGGUAACUUGACCAUUAGAAUAAUACAAUGAUAUGGAUCAUAACAAAACAUUCUUCGAUUAGGAGGUUACCCUUCUAACAAAUUGCACCAAGACAAUUCUAAUGCAGCAACGGCCAAGCUGUCGGACCAAUUGUCUCAAUGCUUGGAUACAGUAAGAUAUAGCAAAGAGUUCUCUCACAAUCCAAGAUGAGCAUAAGUAAAAAAAAAAGGUACGGAAAAAACUAGGAAACUUAAUGACUAAUAAUUGUGAGGCAAUCGAGUGAAAUAUGGGUGUACAAAACAAAAUGGAUAUAAAAAUCUAAUUCACCGAAAAGAAACUAAUAGAUGCACUCCAGCCAAAAGACUACUAGCUAGAAGUAUUAUUGGACAAAUAUUUGUCACAGAUCCAUCAAAGUAUUUCAUUCACUACUAGUUGGCACUUCGUUAUGCAUAAGCAACAGAUGCAAUUGCCAAUUUACAACAUUCAGGAAAAUCUAUGUCAAACAUAUAAUUAAAAUCUAAGAACUCUAGCUAAAAGAAAUAAGCUAUCUCAAGAUUUCUGACUAUGGCCUAUAUGGAAGGAGAAGAAAUCAUAUUAAAAGAAUAGAAAUGCUUACAGUGUUGAUUAUACAAACCUCAUGAUCAAGGCAUACAAAUGUUUAUAACAAUUAGCUACUUAAAAAAAAGAUAUUUAUAAAAUAAAGCAGAUAAAAGAAGGUGCUUGGAAAACAGUGAUAUAACUGCAAAAAAUACAAUAAGAUUACAUCUAUGAUAAGAUUUCCGAAGCAUCAAUAAUAAGAAUGCAGUUCCAACAUGUUAGAAAGUAAAAAUUUGCUACUACAACUAGAUGCCAGUAUAUGGAAUAAAUAGCCAACUGGUUCAGAAACCAUUCUAUUUAGCCAACCUUUGGUAAAAUCUUCACCCAACAGUUUCAUUGUCCUGUAGAUAGAAGAUAAACCAAGGAGAGAGCAGCUAACCAAGAAGAAGGACUUGCUAAUGAAUCAGCGUUGUGAAAAUCCAACAGCCGCCUUUCUCUUUUGAUUGUUACUAACUGAUUCAGGGGUUGGUAGCCCUGUUCUGCUCUCAUACUUCUUUUCCAGAUCCUGUUGCCAAAUAAAGAAAUUAUAAAUAGGGAAGUUGUAGAAUUAAUGUCAUAAGAGCAAAGUAAAUGGACCAGAUGAAGGCACGAAGAAUUAAUGUCAUAAGAGCAAAGGAAAUGGACCAGAUGAAGGCACAAAGUAAUCAAAUUUGUAAGAGUCAAAGAUCUUUGGUUUGCCAGAAUUCAUUCUGACAAUUAAGAAAUUUCCAUUUCACAUGUGGAAAAAAAAAUAAUGAAAAAUGUAUUUUCAAAAAUAGUCUCAUUAAUCGAGUGAAAUAUAUCUAUAACGAAAUCAAUACUUAUAAAUACUAACCUGUAGUUGGGACUGAAUGCUUUCAAGGACAUCAUCAGUCAUUCUAUCAAUAAAAAGAACCCCCUGCAAACCCACAACAAGGAUAUAAAUAGAAACAAGAUCAAAACCAAAGAGAGCAUAAUAUUUCUUCACCAAAAUUAUGCAACUGCAACAUACGGAAAUUAAUUUAUUCACAAAAAGGUAAACCAGAAUUUCUUUUCAAACUAUUAAAUAAUCUUCAGGUCUGAAUUUUCCAACAAUUAAAAAGUAAAUGAAACAAGCAAUCCUCGUGUGACCACGAUAUCAAGCUUCUAGCAUAAUUAGGAGAUGGAAAGUCAUAUGCACUAAAUUUUUCUUACCCAUCCGUGAAUUUUCACCAAGACUCAUCAUGGUCACGCUAAGUGUAACUAAAAUAUGAGAAAGUAGCAUGCAACAACGUCAAUUGUAUAUAGUACCUUCAGAUGAUCAAACUCAUGCUGGAAUACUCGUGCAGGAAGGCCUGACAAACUAACUUUAAACUUCGCUCCAGUUAUAUCUCGAGCAUCAAUUUUCACAGAUGCAGGUCUCUGAACGGAGAAACAAGAAAAUUUGUGGAAGAUUAAUUUCCUUCAUCAACUCUGUUAAUAAGUUUAACAGCAAAAUAGUAGAUCACACUUAAGGUGAGAAAAUGAUAACUACCAUUCUUAUCAACUGAAACAGAAUAACAACCAAAAAAUGAAACAAAACUAAAUCUUAAAAAACAAAAAAAGAUUUUGCAUGCAAGAAUCCACAGAUGAAAUUUUGAUUUUGUUUUAGACUAUCAGAGGGUUUGAAUCAGAAAGGUUAGUAAGUGAUGUCAUUCAGAUGACAGGAUGCAAACUCGAUAAUACUUAUCUAGGAUGCUAUGGUAUGGUUUACUAAUUUGAGAAAAACAAUGUGAAUUGGAAUUUAAUUAAAACUAGAAGAGACAAUACAAAUAAAGAAAGCAAAACUAAUUCACAAGGCAAUCAUAGAAGACUUUCCUACCAAACCUCAAAAGGCCAUAAGUUUUCCACAAAUCAAAAAAAAAAAGUACCACUUUUCAAAUAUACCAAGGGAAGAAAGUGAUCAACCAGUACCAAAAAGUUAAACCAUUAUUCGAGAUUUACCAAUUAUGUAACUCAGCACUUGAUUAAAAUUUGUUGUCCAGGUCGACAGAGAUUAUUUGUUUAAUUUCAAUUAUCAUAGACAAGAAAUUAAAAAGUUUAUAUGAAAUUACAAACUGUAAUAGUCUCUGCUUGUAUGCAGCUCCUCACAAGAUAUCUAAAGAAGUCGUAGAUAAACAGAUGAACUGCGUCUUUUAGAUUUAUGUUGCAUUAGUAGUUUGUGAUUGAUUCGAGCAGGAAACUAAAGAGACCAGGAGAAGCAAUGUGGGAUAGGUGUGGGUCCUAGAAAUUAGAGGAAAUCGCCUCUGGCAUUUGAGAGAAGGAGGGAUAUCUUUCAUACUUUGAAAAAAUAAUAAUUUAGAAAAUAGCGACCUUAGCCAUCUAGGCUUGCAUAGGCUUAUGCAGUUCUCUCAACAACAAUGGAUUAUUAUUAGAUGCUGUGAAUUGAAGCAGUUUAAUGACCUGCAAUCUUCUCAUUUACAUAUGAUAGCAUUAGUUGUUGCGAAUUAAGUUUCCAAAGAAUUUCUAAAGCUUUUCUGAAUUGAUCGCAGAAAAGAAAUCACUGCAUCUAGAUAUUGUCAUCUCGAUUUCUUGAUCAAAAUAACAGGAUUAGGAUUAUAAACAGUGCAUUGCAAGGAAUAUGAAAAGGUAAUGUAAGGUCCUUUUAAGUCACUGCACCACAAAAUCAGCAAAGAACAACAGCCACAAAAAUGGGUAGACAAGCAACACAGGCGAUUCUUACCUCUACAUCUGCAUAUAUUCCUGGAAAUGAUAAGCAACCUUCAUCAUAAAAAAGAGUCUUUUUUGAUGCUUUAUAUAACACUGGAUUCACAAGAACAAUCUCCUCUCCUUCUCCACGCUCACCGGCGGGAUUAAAUACCAUGAGAUGAACAUUAAUUCCAACUUGAGGUGCUGAGAGACCAAUCCCAUCAGUUCUGCAUAUGCCAAACAGGAAAAAAUAUAUAUAUCUCUUUAAAUAUUUAUUCAAGAAUUACUCACAAGAAUAUACUGAUUAUUUUUAGGUAAAAAUGCGUAAAGGUAAUCCGAACUACGAGCCUUUGCAAACGGGUGCCUCAACUUUAAAAGUAUCUAUUUCACCUAACCUUUCUGAGAUUCUAAUUGUAGCACCUCACCGGACUUUUUUUAUAAAACAACCCUCUAGAAUUUUAAAAUUUACGAAAUAAUCCUCUCAAAAUUUUAUUUAGAAAACUAACCCUCCUUUCGCCACAUCGGCGCCACAUCAUAAUUUCUUUUAAAGGCGGUGAAUCGUUUUCCGCUUUCUUCCAUUUCUUUUAAAGGCGGUGAAUCGUUCUCCGCUUUCUCCCAUUUCUUUUAAAGGCGGUGAAUCGUUCCCCGCUUUCUCCCAUUUCUUUUAAAGGCGGUGAAUGAUUGACCGCCUUUCACUUAUUUACUAUAUAAUCCUAACAACCACAAAAAAUUUUAACAAAUCACAUAUAAUCUUAACAACUUUUAAAUCCUAAUAAUUUAUCCAUAUAAUUUCAUACAAUCUUAACAGCCUGAAAAUCCUAAUAAUCUAUCCAUACAAUUCUAAUAAUCAAAUAAAAAUUCUAAUAAUCUACAUAUAAUCCUAACAAUCUCACUUUUAAUGAAUGCGGUGAACGAUUCACCGCCUUUAAAAGAAAUGGAGAAAGCGGGGAACGAUUCACCACUUUUAAAACGAUUCACCGCCUUUAAAAGAAAUGGGAGAAAACGGGAAACGAUUCAUCGCCUUUAAAAAAAAUUCUGACAUGGCGCCGGCGUUGCGAAAGGAGGGUUAGUUUUCCAAAUAAAAUUUUGACAGGGCCAUUUUGCAAAUUCUAAAUUUUUACAGGGUUAUUUUAUAAAAAAGUCCCACCUCACCAUUGUUCGCAAUUGCUCUAGAUAUUAUUGCCUGCAAGCAAUGCAUUCGUAUAUCCGUCUACCACUCCACUAUCUGCCUUUCAUCGCAUUUCACACUCCAAUAUCUAUCACUCACCUCGUUGAAACCUUUCUCCGUUUAAAAUUUGCAUAGUUUCGAAUGUGAUGCAGUGGAAGUGUAAGAUGAGAGGCGAGUGCAAACAAUGGUUCUCGAGCUGUUUGUGCUUGUAGUAGCUGAGUAUUAAAAUCUAAGUUUCAGACAAUUACGUACUAAAACGCAAAUUUUUUAAGUUAUGUAUCAAGCAAACAUUAACUGCAAGUUCAGCUCUCUAUGCAGGGUUUUAUGCUCUCAGAACAUUCCAAAAAUCUCAAAUUUAAUUUUUUUUAAAAAAUUGAAAAGCGAUUAGAGACUCACUUGUACAUAACAUCAAACAUCUCUUGGACAAGCCUCUUUAGGUUUUCAUCGAACGUAUUGAUCCGCUUGUUCCUCGCUCUCAGCAUCGGAUCGGGAUACUCCACGAUCCUCAACGGCGUCUCGAAGCGCAGAUCCGCGGCUAUAGAAGCAACCCAACACAAAAAUCUCACCAAACUUAUCAAAAAAAAAAGUGGGGGGGGGGGGGGGGGGGGGGAGUGCACAACUGCUCCGUGCCGAGAGCGAUGAAGCGGCAUACGAGAGGCCGUAGUCGUCGUGGCGACGAAUUGGGAGGAGAAGCCCGCGGCGCGCGUGGGCGGAGAACGCCAUGGGAGGGGGUGAGAGAGAGGAAGAGGGAAAAGGGCGCAGGGAGAGGGAGAGGGUUGUGAGAGAGGGCGAAGUGGAGCGGAGAGAGAAAGGGAGAGAGGGCGCAGUGAGAAGAGGCGUGAAGAUAGAGAGUCGCCGGGGAGGCGGCCGUGGGCGAGGCGUGGAGUCCGCGUUCGCCAUUCGUGCUCUUUUCGUGACAAUCAAGGUUGUUAGAUACCGAUUUUUAAUCUUAUUGAGCGAAAAUAUACGAAAACCCUCUCAGCUUUGUCUAUUUUGUAUCACAACUCCUCGACGAUCUUUUUAAACUUAUUUACUGAGGUUUUUCAAUAUCUGGUGUUUUUUGCACUGUACUUUUAAAAAAACUAAUUUUUUAAACUUUUAUUAAAGAAGGAGUAAUUCAUGAACGUUGUCAACGACUAAUAGUAAAUUUUUUUUUUCAAAAAAUGCAAAAUUAUAGCAACUCCUCCUUAUCAUAACUUAGCCUGAUUACUUAGCCAUUUGAAUUUUAAAUUGUAAAAAGGGUCAGCAUAAACCUUCAACAGUAGUAUUUAAAAAAAAAAUUAUUAUUGUUUAUUCAGCAAAUACAUUAUAAAGUAAUUAAUUAUAAUAAAAAUAAUAAUAAUAAUUACGAACAUAUCGAAUACAUAAAAAUAUAUAUUUGUGUACGCUACCUCAUGAAAUAAUUUGUAAACCUUUAUACCCGACAUACACACUCAAAAUUUUCUAAAAAAAUUAAGAAUACAAACCCUUAAUAUAAAAUUGUGAGUAAAAAUUAAAUUUUCGAGAAGCAAUCUUGAUAAUAACCACAACAGUAGCUUUCUCAAGUUUUAAUUCUUGAGAAAAUAAUUAAAAUAAGAUAAAAAAUAUAUAUAAUUUAUUUAAACUAUAAAUUAUUUUGAGUUGACUAUUUAAUCUUUUAUAAUUUUAUUUUUAUUAGCUAUUUUUUUAUUUUAUUUAAUCAGAGCCAGUCAACUUUUUAUAAAUUUAAUUAGUAUAAAUUGACUUUAAAAUAUUAUUGACUGAUUUGAAGUAAUAAUUUUUAAAAAAAAAUGGAUAGUAAAAUUAAUUAAUUAAAAUUUAAAAAGGUGAAAUUGCUAAUUCAAACUUCAAAGUGUUCUACGGUUGACAAGUUAUGCGUUCUACAGUUGUGGGCUUAUCACGUUGUCCCCGUAUCUUAUCCGAAACACUCGAUAAACCCCGCCAAUGUCCCCUCCCUCUUCAACCUCUUCGUCCUCUUCCUCCCGCAACCCUAAACCCCCUCUAUCCUUCGCACUACCGAGCUCCUCCCAUGGCGAAGAACCCCGAGAAGAGGAAGGAGCUCACCUCCGUGGAGAGGAGAGUGGCGCGCAUCGCCAGCCACCUCCUCCCUUCUAUCUCUCCCCUCUCUCCCGCGCCUCCGAUCGUGCGAUCCGUGGCUUCGGCCGAGGACAGCUACAGGCGCGUCCAUGGCGAGGUCUCGGCGAAGGAGGCCGCGUGGAGAGAGGUGUGCGAUGAUGAGUCGGGGAAGGGGUUCGUCGACAUUAUCUAUGAGAAAGCCCUCGGGGAAGGGAUCGCCAAGGUAUUGUAAUAGAGAUGGUUCUCGAUUUCUUUUUUUUUCCGUUAAAUAUAUAACUGUUUGUUGAACGAGAUGUAAGUGUAUUCCUUAUUUUGAAAUGUUAAACUCAAAUUGAAAAAUGCAAAUAAGAGCAAAUUAAGCUUCAGGGGUUUACUUCAAAAUGGAUUAUAUUACCCUUUUUUUUAAUGUUAGAUUCCCAUUCUUUAUUUCUUAUGCUCUUCAAACGUUCGCCUAAGGUAUCAAAAGAAAAGAAAAAAAAGGGGGGGGAAUGGGAACUUUUUGCACAAUAUCCUGGCUAAUUUUGACAGUCGUACUAUGUGAACAUCAAUAUUGAUAUAAGCGAGUACCAAAAUGGACAGUGUCAUUUUGGUUGUUAACAGUCACUGUUCUUUUCCAGGUACAAUGUUUGUUGAUUUCUUUUGGUAUAUUUCAUUGUAUUCAAUUUCAUUCCAAUGUGCAUAUAUUUGCACAUGUUCUGGUGAUUUUUGAUUAUUUGACAUGAAGAACUACAAAAUAGGAAACAUAAUGUCCAAUUUCUGUGUAUAGUAUAAUCUGUUAGUCUAAGAACUAAAAUUGCGAAUGACUAAAGCAAUAGAUGUUCCCUGAACUUGUUUAUAUGAUUUCCUUCGGAAAAAAAUGCUUGUAUGAUGAAAAAUAUUCUCAUAUUUCAUAGGAUAGUUCAAACUUGUUGAUACAACAUCUGGUAGCCUGGUAAGUUAUCUAAAUUUUGCACUUUUCUGGAUCUUUCUUACAAAAAAAAAAAAGUCCUGGAUCUAUAUAUUUAUACUUUUGUUUCUUUUAUUUCUCCAGAUCACAAUCAAUCGUCCAGAAAGAAGAAAUGCUUUCCGGCCCCUAACAGUUAAAGAGCUUAUGCGUGCAUUCAACGAUGCUAGGGAUGACAGUACAAUUGGUGUCGUCAUUUUGACAGGAAAGGUAUAUGAUAUUUAAAUAGAUGGCCUUGUGAUAAACGUUUUUAGAUCUCAAUUUUUAAAUUCUUCAAUUUGAUACUAUAAUUUUGUGAUUGUUAAGUUCCACAAUAAAUACUAGGAACUUCACUGCAUACACACACCCUCAUGUGAAUUGAGAAAAAGAAUUAAAAUGUUUGUGAUAUAAAUUCCAUAGGACUGAGCAACUCUGACUGAUAGCUCAGGAAAAUACCUUUUUGUGCCUUUUUAGCCUUUUCUGCUUUUCUCUGCAGAUGGCUACCGUUGGAAUACCUUACCAACUUUGAAUUUUGCAGCCUCCAUAGGAGUGCAAAGCAUCAAUAAUUACUUUACCUUUUCCAUAUAAUAACUCUUAUGCCAAUGCCAUUGUUUACUUUUAACUUAGGGAACCAAGGCCUUUUGCAGUGGUGGUGACCAAGCAUUGAGGAGUUCUGAUGGAUAUGCUGAUUUUGACAGUUUUGGUCGUCUGAAUGUAUUGGAUCUUCAGGUAGAUAUCCUUGUUCUUAUUUUCAUAGAUUUCCUGUUGUUCCUCUUCUUUAAUUGUAUACUAGUAAAUGAGACUUAGGCCAUCAUGAUUCUUGCGUGAGGCUUACGACAAAAAUGUGUUUCUUAGAGGACUAUAGUCUAUAAUCAUUGCGCAUAUUGUUCAUGACAAAUGAGUUGCGUUAAGUACUUCUGAUAUUUUCGAUGCGCUGAGCUUUCAUUGUUAUUUCAGUCUGCAACACAAUGUUUUUGCAUUGAAUUUUGUCACCUUUUCUUUGUUUGCAGAUCUGUUAGUUGAUUGUUGGAAAGUUUGCAUACUUUUACUAAGUGGACGAUAUCCUCAUAAUAAGUGUACUUACAUAUGCCUUGUUCUAGGAAUAGUCUGAGAAGAGGGUCGAUCAGAAAAAUGUUAGUAUAAAGAUAGUAAACAUCUUCUGCCAUUAUAAGACUGAUCUUCUUUUGACGAUGACCUUUCCGCAUAAGAGGAUCUUCUAGUGAAAACUGUGCUAUUUUGAUUCGCUCGCUACUUUACAUCUUUCUGUAAGUUCCAUCUGACUGCUUCAAUAGUUUAAUGAGCAGUCAUCCAGUAAGUAAUAAAUUAUACUUACGGGCUAUCGUCUUUUUACAGGUACAGAUUCGCCGUCUCCCUAAACCAGUCAUCGCGAUGGUAUGAUUAUCACUUUCAAUAUUCUGUAUGCUUAAAUUUUCCUCUCUUUUUUUCCCAAUUAAAUAAUUGACACUCUUAUUUAUGAUUAGGUGGCAGGUUAUGCUGUAGGCGGUGGACACAUAUUACACAUGGUCUGCGAUCUAACAAUUGCAGCUGACAAUGCAGUUUUUGGUCAGACUGGCCCUAAGGUGGCUAUCAUAUCUUUAUUAUUAUCAUUCCUGAAGAAUACUUUGUCUGUUUGUGAAUAAAGUAAAUGUUAGUUAUUUUGAAUAAACAUCAUUGUUGGAAAUGUGAGGUAUCUACUAACCUUAUAGUUAGACAACUUGUGAAAAAUCAGCUACAUGUAACAUACGGGCAUUUCUUAUGCAAGUGGUUUUUUUUUCUUUUUUUCCAAAAUCAUAUUUCCUGGGUGUGCAGAGUUAUCUCUACUUUUAAAAGUCAUCACUAUUGCAUGUGCUUAGGCAGAUAUAUCCGGAUAUUUGGUAUUAAGACAUGAUUGUUGGGCUCCAUCUAUGUAAUAAACAGCUUGUAGGAAAUCUCAGUCAUGAAUCAUGUCAAAUGUGAUGUUGGGGAUCAAUAACUACCGUGUUUAUUGAACUCGUAUGGAUAUUACUCCAUAUAGUCUCUUUUGUGCGAGUUAGUUAGGGGAAGAUACAAAGGUCUUGAAGCGUUGACAGUGAAACAAACCAGUCAGGACUCUUGGAAAAUCAUAAAUUUAGAAAGUUCAAUUUUAUGGAGAAUAGUUGGAAUCACAUUAUUCAGGAUUUAUGAGUUAUAACAACAUAAUUACUGAAGAGUUAAUAAAUUAGUAGUGAUAUGGUUUCUCCUAUCUUGAUGUGUGAUAUAUUGUCAGGUUCAAUCAAAUUGACUGUCACCAUGUUCCCAAAUGUUUCAUCAGCAUGCAUUCGAUUUGAAUAAACAUCAUUGUUAGUUAUUUUGAAUAAACAUCAUUGUUGAUCUUUUUUGUUUUGUAAUGUCUUAUUGCAGGUUGGAAGCUUCGAUGCUGGUUAUGGUUCCUCGAUCAUGUCCCGCUUGGUAAGCUAAAAAUUUGAGGUAGGUGAGUUUCAUGAUAUAUGGCUACCUCUUGCAAAGAGAAUCAGUAUUGAUGUUAUUAUAGCAAGCCUCCUUGUUAGCGUUCUUGCAGAUGAUAUGUCGAGUGUUUACUUCAUCACAAAGGAUAAUUUUGAAACUAAUCAUUCUUUUAUAUGUCAUAUUUUUACAAUGAAUCCUUUUAUAUACUACCUAUUUAUUAUGUUUUCUACUGCAUGUUUUCAUGUUUGGCCAGGUUGGACCAAAGAAAGCACGAGAAAUGUGGUUCCUCUCGCGAUUUUACACUGCUUAUGAAGCAGAGAAAAUGGGACUCAUAAAUGUGGUAGUGCCAGUAAGUUCGCGAAAGAAAACACUAGUUUCCUGUAUCGUCUCUUAUACUAACACUUCUCAGGGACUAGACUGUACAAAUGCAAAUCUGGUGUCUUUACUAAUAUGGUCUUUUUCUUUUUAUUGAGGAUAAUUUACUCGUAUGAUCAUUACCAGCCAAAGAGUCAGCUUUAAAUACACUGCUUAAUCUCGUCUAGUUUAUAAAUUCAAAUUUUAUUUAAGUUUUUGAAAAUUUUCUCACAUUUGUCAACCCAGGUUCUCCCCUUAAUUUUUUUCUGUCUCAAUUUUCAUAAGAUUUGGCUUACCAUCAUCAAAGUCUGGCACCUCUACAUCCUCCUCUACAAAGAAUCACUCAUUCUUGAAUAGUCUUAUACAUACGGGUUGGCCUGUACUUGUUUAAGGAUUCACUGUAUAUUCAAUGAUUCCCUAUAUGUCCUACCUGAAAGACAGAAAGUCUCGUCCUUAGGCAAUCCACAUGCAUCCUUACUGUCAGUUGGUCAUAUUCAAGAAAUAUGUUGCUUAAUGUCAAGAUAAAAAUAAAAAAUAAAAAAAGAAGGAUGCUGCUAUCCUAUGACCGAUCGCCUCAUUAGUCCAGAAUAUCUACAAAUUUAUUGAAAUAAAUUUUAUAUUUACACUGAAAAAAAAAAAAAAAGUUCAUGUGAUUGACCCUCAAAAAGAAGCAAGUUCCUGUAAAUUUGUGGAUUGCGUAGUAUUGGUGGCAACUGGCUACAAUUUUGUCUCAGAUGUGCUGACUGAUUAUAUCCUUUUCUCUUUGUAGCUUGAGAUAUUAGAGCAGGAAACGCUUAAAUGGUGCCGGGAAAUUUUGCGGAACAGCCCAACAGCCAUCCGGGUGCUCAAAUCUGCUCUUAACGCUGUAGACGAUGGCCAUGCCGGUCUUCAGGUACUCUCUGUGCUGUAUAAGUUUGGUCUACAAAUAGCACAAUGGUUUUAUACCAUAAAGAAAUAACACUUUGAUUUAAGGUUCGAUGGUUUAAUUUGUUUUGGGUGGAUUCUGCCAUUCCAUCUCUGAGAAAAAUCAUUGGCUACCAGUUUAACUUUGAUGCAACUAAUUGAGGCAUAAUGAAAAUAUUUGCCUUUUCCGUGCUAUAAAGAAAAGAAAAUGAAGGAUACUGAUGGAGAAUGAACCAAAAUUUGAAAAAUCUGUCUAGUUUGUAUUGUUUGCGCCGUAUUCAAUUUCUUGAGUGCAAUACGAGAAGCUGCUGUAUGCAUAAACUUUACAUAGCGAAAAUGUUAUCCACAUGAUUAUACACAAUAUUUACACUGCACUGAGAGUGUUUAGAUUUAUAGCUUCUGUUUGACAUGCAAGAGCAGUUGCCGAUCUUUGCGCUCAGUCCCUCAGAUUACAGUUGAAUGCUAGAUUAUCAUUUUUCUAGAAAAUCACGCAAAAAUGAUCUGAGCUUGCCACAUUUUUGCUCCCCCUCUCCUUUCUACUGGCACUGCAAGUCUUCAGUAUUUUCCAGUUAAAUUCUUCCCUGAUGCAGGAGCUUGGUGGGAAUGCAACACUCAUCUUUUAUGGCACGGAAGAGGCAAAUGAAGGAAAGACGGCUUACAUGGAGCGGCGACGUCCCGAUUUCUCAAAAUUUCCAAGGAAACCUUAAUGCCUCGUUCUGAUUCUCAUCUCUUAUUUACUUUGUUGUAUGAGAAGUUGCAUGAACGGAGCUCUAAAUCUUUUUUUGUAUUUUAGUAAAUAUAUUAUUCAAUAACAAAAUCAGCUAGAUCAAUAACAUUAUCUUUGUUUAAGCACAGCACCAUUGUUUUGUCUUCUUUUCUUUUUUGUCGGUGUGAAGUGUAAUAUAAAGACAUUAAUAUCAGCAAAAUAUCAUGGUUUUGUUUUUUUGAAAAAGAUUGAGUAAAAUUCAACAACUUUUUAGUGAAAGUUUCCGUCGUGGACUUUUUAACAUUUAUUUUUUUAAUAAAGGUUUUUUUUUUUAUAUAUAUAACUUGGUUUGAUGAGAUCGCGAGGCAAAUCACCAAAUGUCGAUUCGCGCGUACUACGGCAUCGUCGGUUUUAUCCACUUCACAAAUCUCGUACGCCACGUCAGCAUUGCAACUACUGUAUUCCACGUGGCAAACUAUCAUUCGCGGAUUCAAUGUUUCGUGUUCGGGUACAUUGUAGGAGAUCAACCAUCCACGUCCUCUCCCACCGCCUCUUCCAUCCGUUGUUCUAUAACUUACGCCGAAGCGGUGAAUAAAGUAGAAACCGAGAAAGCUCGGAAAAGGGCGAAACGAUGCUUAGGGCUACGGGAAAGAGGUUGCUAGGGUUAGGGUUAGGGUUUCCGCAGCGGGCCUCGCCUGCUGGCGGCGCCGCCGCCGCUGUGGGCGGAGCUCCGGCGGCGAUCCGGGGAUACCAUGAGAGAGUGGUGGACCACUACAACAACCCUAGGAACGUGGGGUCCUUCGACAAGGACGACCCCGCGGUGGGGACGGGGUUGGUGGGGGCUCCUGCGUGCGGCGACGUGAUGAAGCUCCAAAUCAAGGUCGACGAGGAGUCGGGUAAGAUCGUCGACGCGUGCUUCAAGACCUUCGGAUGCGGCUCCGCGAUCGCCUCCUCCUCUGUUGGUUCGUAACAUCUUCGUGUUUGAAAUCGAUUUCUUUUUUUUUUAUUUUUUGGUUUCGAUCUCUUGCAGUUCCGUACUGUUUUGAUUUGCUAUGCUGUAAAUUUAGUUGCUUUUGCUUUUCGUUUCAAUCAGUGGCGUAUUUUAAGAAUAGAAUUAUUGUGAGGGGAGUUGAUUUGGAUUCAAAUUGAGCACAGGUUUUGUUAAGAAUGGAAUUAUUGUUAGGAAACUGAGUAGCGAGUACUCUGGUUUCUUUGAAUUGAUGUAACAACUGAUGAAACAUUUCUGAGAACUGCUCUUUCCUAAUUUUUAUUUACCUAAAACCGGAAAAAGAAAAUUAUGUGCUAAUCCCUGUGUUAUUGCUGCAGUGAUGAGAAGUUUUGGAUUGAAUUGUAUUGCUUGUUCCUCUGUUUUCAUCAUAUUAUUACUCGAUCCCUGAACUUCUCUCUUUAAUGAUUUAGUUCCUGAAUGUUUUCAUUACGAAGGGAUUCAACAAUUGCACUCUUAGCUCUUAUCUGCUAGUCCAAAAUAUCUUAAUUCUUUGCUUCAUGAUGCCCCAUUCCCAGUGUUGGGUUAAUUCUGGCUCUUUUCAAUCAACUGAAUUUGUAAAUCACUCCAUAGUAAAAUUGGAACAAUGUUUUAAUAGUCAAUUUGUAGAAAGAGGGUAUUAUGAAAUGAAUUUCAGUUUUGUACGGCAAACAGGGACGGCGAACUGCAAAUUGUAUUAAAGAUAAGCCUCUAAAUGUUUAAGCCAAAAAUUCAGGGACUAGAUCAGGAUAUUUCAGAAGUUCAUGUGCAUUUUACUCUCAAAUUUUUAUAAGAUUUCUGUUAUGUCUUCUGGCCUGGUGAUGCUGGUUUGGUUUUGCUGCAGCUACUGAAUGGGUGAAAGGAAAACAAAUGGAGGAAGUAGUGUCCAUAAAAAACACGUGAGUCCUGCUCACCUUAUGCUCUCUUAGUACUUAAUGCCCUUUUUCAAUUAUUGUCGAGUGUAAAGAGUUUCUUUUUAUUUUUUGCAUGAUGAAAUCUACUUGAUAGAUGUCUUCUUUUCUUGUUUUUUACUUUAUUCAAACUUCUUAAUUUUUCUACCUUAUAUAGAUGUGGUGAUGGAAAUUUGAAAUCUUAUUUUGCGGAUGGCAAGAAUAGAACCUAAAACAUGAGAUUACUACAGUUCAAGAAAGAAAGAAAGAAAGAAAAGGAAAGAAAAAAAAAUGAUUACAAAAAAUGAAGUGUUGUGUCCUUUUUCAUGGAAGAUGCCCUUUGUAGUGAACAAAAAUCAUGUCUUUGUAUGCUGCAUCCGCAGAGGAUAACACUUAGUCUGACUUAUUAGCUUUACUAUGUCUUACAUGAAAACAAAAUUCUCAUAUUAAAUUAUAACAUCUUACUUCAUUGUCUAGAUUAGUCCCUUCUAUAGAAAUUUAGAUGCCUUUCUUCCAUUAUGGUGUUUGUCAUGUUGGGGCUAGGGCAGCCUGAAUGCCCAGUAUCUACAAACCUUUAUGGUUUUUUUUCCACAAUGUUCAAAGGCCUUUUCAAAUCCAUAGAAGCAGUAAGUGAAGCAGAGUUCUUUCACAUAUGUGACCAAACUGUCUGGUGUAGUCGUCUUUUCUUUUUUGAUUCAAAGUCCCGCUUGUCAUUUUAUAUUCUUUUCUACCAUUCGCAUGGCAGAUUCCCAGUUGCACUGUGGGUGGGAUUGACUUUACAUGUAUCCUUAAAUUAUAAGAUGUCCUUUUAUCUGAUUAGAACCAAAGUAUAGUCUUCAUCAAAUGCUUUAAUUAAUUACUAGGUCAUAUAUAUUGCAGCCGCUUGCGGUGCUUUAUACAUAUUUCCAUGGAAUAAAAGACAUCAUAAUGAAAAUGUUUGAUGUUGUCCCUCCAUAUUUUAGUGUCUUCUUAUAUCACAGAGCAUUUUUGGUGGAGCUAGAUUUCAAAAUCUAGAUCUGAAUUCAUAACUGUUUAGUUGGCAGCAUGAUUUAAAUGCAACACUUUACAUUCUGGUUUUUUACUGCUAACGUAUUUGACCUCGAAGUUGCAUAAUAAUUUAUCUUGGAUCGAAAAGAUAAUCGUUUCGCAAGAAACUGAUGACUUACUGCAGCACCUUUUUGUUAUUUUUGCUAGCUUGUAGUAAAAUAUUGAAAUAGAGUAUCUGUAAUAGAUAUGAUGAGCAAUUGAGGAUGGGAAAGAAUGCGUUAUGCCUUAUCCAGCUCUAUGGAGUGGGAAAAGGCUGGAAAAAGUAAAAGAUGGAGAUUUAGGAUGCGAACAUGAUCAAGAGUUUGUCGUGUCAAAUGUUAUAAUAUUUUGGUAACAUAAUUUAGCAUAAAAAAUCAAUGGUUUUUUCAAUCAGUUUUAUAGAAUGCUUAAAAAUGUUUAAGCAAAAAGUUCAGGGGCCAAGUUGCAAUGUCGAAAUUUUCUUUGUGCUUGUAUAUACUUCCGAUAGUAUUAGAAUAUUUUAUCCUCUGCAUUUGAAUUGAACCUUCUUUUAUACAUUUAUAUAUCGCAGAGAAAUUGCAAAACACCUCUCACUUCCGCCAGUGAAGCUCCACUGCAGCAUGCUUGCUGAAGAUGCAAUCAAGGCUGCUGUAAAGGACUAUGAAGCUAAGAAGGGUUGGACGUCUCAAAAGAGUGACAAUGCCGAAGCAGCUGGGGUAGCCAAUGCUUGAAUUCUGCAAUCUCUUGCUGUCCAAGGAUGUGACUGAUAGCUGCCGGUCUCGUGGGAUGCGCACAUUUUCUUUCAUUAUCAAGUACGUGAGUCGAUACAGAGUGCUUUAUAGCUGGUUUAAGGUGUGGUGUGGGAUGUUUAGUUGUAUAUCCUAAUGCACGAAUAAUGAGGAUCACACUUCUUUCGAGUGGUGAUUUAGACUUCCGCUGACCCUCUCAGCACGAGAAAUCAUAUUUGGUGCAUGUAAAUAAAAAAGAUGAGUCUUAAUGUGCAUAACUAUGGCGCUGUUAUAGUUUUGUUUCAAAAUGCAGGGGCUUGGCUGUUGACGGGCUGUUGACGGGCUGUUGACGGGCCGUUGACCAGUUUUCAUUGAUGAAACGGCUGCGAUACUAUAUCUUCCGGGUAUGUAGGCACUUUGCUUGUUUACACUCCGCCGCAGGUUUUCUCCUGUGUUUACCUUUUAAACCUUUUGUACUCUUUGGAUCUUGAAGUGCUUUAUCUCGAAAUAUAUUGUAAUAUACCGGACUUGUUGUGACCCGCCGAUGAUGAGAAUUUGCUGAGGCGAGGACGGUGACGGGGAUGAUGGUGGCCUCGGACUGCGACUCCGGGUUAAUUGGGUUAAAAAGAGUAAGACCAGGAGGCCAUAGGAAGAAGGGAUGGGAAUUGGAGGUACUGAGAGGGGAAUUGAGAUGAGAGAGAGAAUUGGGGAAGGAUUGUGAGUAGGGUGAGGGGAUAAUUUUGGAGAAGAAGAUAACUAGUUUUCAUUCAUAACUCCCACCUGGUUACAAUUACCCUAUAUUACUCAUCUCCAAGAUCUCGUUCACAGUAGAAAAGGCAAAAACUACAGGGAUUACAUUGCAAAAUAGUAAUUAACUUGGUCGGUACUGGGUCAGGCUUUCGGAUAAGAUCCCCUUCUGUUCCCUCCGGCUUUCCUUAGUGGUCGGAUCCUCUCAUUCAGCGCCUACCCCGAUACCGGUAAGCACCUGCUCCAAUAAGCUUGUUUAUUUACUAUCUAACCCCCUCGACUUGGUCUAGAUACUGUCAGAUCCUCUCCUCCACGACCCUAAUCACCUCGUUGCCCUCUUCUCCUCCGCGCGCGCUCUCACCCCUUCUACUUCCAUGGUCACCCCGACCGUCACAUAUAUCUGUAUCAAAAGUUGUGACCACUAGGGUGCCGAUGGUUCGGCAUCCACAAUCAAAUCACCUUAACAAGUGGGAAAGCGAUGAGAAAACUGUCUUUUGCGCUCAUUCGUUGGCUGUCACAUGAGGUAGGGAAUUUUCACAAAUCACAAAUCAAACUGCCAUCACAUUUGUCUCUGCUAACCACAUGUUCUGUGCAGGUUAGAGCGGGCCAACCAAUAGGUAUAUGGUCCAAGAAUAAUCCAUAAUGCCGAUCUUCUCGACCACAGUACAAAAGCUCGGAAGGUUAUACCCCUCUCUGUUUCUUUGCAAAAGUCGUAUGAGCUGACGUAUCAAAAACAAUAAUGUGACCGGCCGUCUCUAGAGCAAGUGGUAAAGGACUUGAUGGUUGGUACCUGAGAUCCAAGUUCGAAUCCUAGUUGAUUCACAUUUCUAACUAAGUUUAUUUCUAAAUAAAAUAAACGAAGUGAAUAGCAUGCCACCUAUCUCUCAAAAAAAUAAUAAUAAUAAUAAUGUGACCGAAUAGUUCGACUGACUAAACGUUGCCAGCCAAUUGACCACAAAACUAGCCUAUCCAUUUACAUGUGUGACAUAAAAAUGUAAAAAAAAUAAACUUGUAUCUUGAAAAAUAUAUCAGCAGUACGGCUUCGCGAAGCCCAUGAAGGGUCAAAAUUUUCCCUAAUUACCUCCAUCAGUUGUGAGAGUUCGAUUCCAACCAAACGUGUGAUUUUCCUCCACGUUGCUUCAUUCGAAGCCUCCAAUGCCUCUUCAACCUCCUUAACCUACAGCAAAAUAUGAAAUUAUCUUCAUGAGAUCUAGCUACAAAAUCAAUGAUCGCCUCUAUUUUUGAUACGAGCAGAGCAAGAUUUUGUUACAGGUAUAUAGCAACUUUAUUUUUUUGAAGGUGCCACAAGGCGAUUCCAGAUGCAAUCUCGACCGUUAAAUAUUGAUUGGUAAGUCGACAACAAAAGAGGAGUCCAAAUGCAAUCUCAACCGGUAAUUACUACUGGUGGAUCUCAACCGGUAAUUACUACUGGUGGAUCACUCCAUUCACAAUCACUCAUUAUCUAUCCAUAUUAUCACACGUGGAAAAUUUCGCUAAAAAGCCCACUAAAAGCAUUACAUCAUUUUCUUUUCCACGUCCUCCUCUACUCUCUCCACGGCCACCACAAUCAUAUGGUGUAGAAUCCUCAUUCGGCAACCAUUUCAUGUCCUUUCAAUUCAAUCGUACCAUAAAUUUGAAUCCUUCAUAAGUAGGAACAAACUCCCUUACAGCUAUAUAACAACCCCAAAUCCAACCAAGUAUACAAUUUAUUCAUAUAACUUUGAUUUUAGUCCCCUAGCUAGUUUAAAUAUUUUUCACUUUUAGUUCAAAUGGCCCCCAUUGUGCCGACGGCCCCAGCGGCGGGCAAGUCAGGUGGCCGAGUAAUGAAGUCUAGAGCUUAUGUUACGUUUCUGGCGGGGGACGGAGACUACGUAAAAGGAGUGGUUGGGCUGGCGAAAGGGCUCAGAAAGGUCGGGAGUGCGUACCGACUAGUUGUUGCGGUGCUCCCCGAUGUGCCUGAAGCGCAUCGUCGGAUCCUCGCUACUCAGGGUUGCGUAGUUCGGGAGAUCGAGCCGGUGUAUCCACCGGAGAACCACAUCCGAUUCGCCAUGGCAUACUAUGUCAUCAACUACUCCAAGCUGCGCAUUUGGAAUGCAAGUACAUUGAUAUAUAUAUAUAUAUUGCUAUUCGAUAUAUUUAUACGAAGUUCAACUUUAACUGAGUGUUAAUGUUUUGUUGACACAUGUAGUUUGAGGAGUAUAGCAAGAUGAUUUACCUGGACGCCGAUAUCCAAGUCUACGACAACGUCGACCACCUCUUCGACCGCCCGGACGGCUACUUGUAUGCGGUGAUGGACUGCUUCUGCGAGAAAACGUGGAGCCACACCCCGCAAUACAAGAUCGGGUAUUGCCAACAGUGCCCCGACAAGGUGAAGUGGCCCGAGCACGAGCAAGGUCGCAUGGCCUGCGGAGAUGGGGCCGACUCCUCCCCUCUACUUCAAUGCCGGCAUGUUCGUGUUCGAGCCGGGUCGAGAAAUCUGUGAUAGGCUCCUGGAGACUUUGCGGGUUGUACCGGUCACUCCUUUCGCUGAGCAGGUAAUUAUAAUUAUAUAUACUUUUGUUUUUCUUCUUUUUUUUUUAGUAUAAAUAAGAACUUCUUAUUUCAGAAAUAUGUAUAAGUUCAUAUAUAAGUAAGAACUAGACUAAUUUUACGUUUGGAUGAAAAUUGAGUUGUUCUCAUGAAUAAAAAAAAAAUAACGUUGGAUAAAUAAGGUGGAAUAAAAAAAAUAGUAACUAGUUAUAAAAAAAAUGAUGAUAUUGCUUCUCUCAUUAAAUAUGAAUUUGAAUUUUUAAAUUUCAUAAUUAUAUUUUUAUAUUUAAAUUUUUAAUUUUGUAAUUUAAAAUAUCAAAUUGUAAAUUCUAAAAUUCAAAAUUUUAAUUUUUUUUAUUUAAGAUCAAAUUUAAAUUUGAAAAAUAUAAAAUUACAAAUUAUAAAAUUUUGUAAUAAAUUUGAAAUUAUAAAUUUAAAAUUCUCUCUCUAUCUCUCUCAAGCUUGUUCCUAGAACAAGCUUGAGAGAGGAACAAUUCUACCUCCCACCCCUUAACGGGUUAUCCGUAACCCGUUAAGGGACGGAAACUAUCCGUUAAAGGGCGGGAACUAUUGUUCCUGCUUUUCUUUUUUUUGUUUGGAUAUAAGGAAAUGAAUAAGCUCUUAUUCCUUUUCUUAUAUCCCAUUCAAACGGUAUGUUAGAAAGAAAAAAAGAACUACCGUAAAUCAUGCCAUUUCAAUGAAUGGCUCUAAAAAUUUGUUAAUGGAUUAGUUAUAAAUUUAAUCUUGUAAUUUGAACAAUUUAACCCUAUGUAACAAUUAUGUAUAAAGAUACCAAAUUUGUAUUUAACUUUAACUUAGAAAUACUAUCGAGUAGAGAUAAGUCUCUGACACCACUAGAUCGAUCACGACCAGUAAGGAGUCGGAUAGAAAUGGAUGAGGGUGCAGCUUUGAGCCUUAACCAGAGGAAAGAAAAAUUAAAUAAAGCUAAGAACAAAGUGCUUAGUGGUAUUUGAAUUAAGACCCUCCUAUUCUGAUACUAUAUAUAUAUAUAUAUAUAUAUAUAUAUAUAAAACAGUAAACUACUUUAAAAACUUAAUUUGAGAUUCACAGUUAUAGAUAGUGUGAUAAAGAUUAACAUGUCAACCACCAUACAGACUACAGUGGUUGAGAUUCUCUUGUGUAUACUGUUUCGUGUACACUGAAAAUAGUAAAUGUAACAUGCAUGAGAAAAAAAUGGAAGCAUAAAACUCAAUCACCACAAUAUAUAAGAAAAGCGUCAAAAUUAAGGUUAUAACUUUAUUCAAUUAGUUCCUUAAUUAUUUCUUGCUAAUUUUAUACAAUUAACUAACUAUUUCUUGUUGUAUUUUGGUAGGACUUUUUGAACAUGUUCUUUGAGAAAAUCUACAAGCCAAUUCCUCUAGUCUACAACCUGGUUCUAGCCAUGUUAUGGCGCCACCCCGAGAAUGUCGAGCUCGACAACGUCAAGGUGGUUCACUACUGCGCUGCGGUAAAAUCCUUAUCCAUAAAUGCCCGAUUUUUUCAAGCAUUCGCUCCAUCGCUAAUCACUUGAACUUUAAAAAGUUAAAAUAAAUUAUACGGAUUUUGUGUAACGAUAUCGUUUAACAUCUUGCUCAUGAAUCUGUAACAAUUUUCUUAGGAACCUAUGAUUAAUCCUACAUAAAACCAAGUAACUUAAAACCUAGUUUUGAGCUAAGUAGUUAGAUCAAAAAUAAUAAUAUAGUUAAUUUUUAUCCUUGUUUUUAGCAUUUUAAAGUUCGAGUGUUGAUUCUAAUAUUUUGUUUUUUCUGAUGUAAUUUUUAUGCGGAAAGGGCUCUAAACCGUGGAGGUAUACUGGAAAAGAAGCAAAUAUGGACAGAGAAGAUAUAAAGACACUGGUGGCGAAAUGGCUGGACAUCUACAACGACGAUUCGCUCGACUACGUUGCAGCGGAGAAUGCAGUUCUGCAGGAGACUGCUUGCUCACUUUCUCCGAUCGUGACGGUCGUGACGGAGACGUCGAAUAACAGCUACAUUCCUACACCCUCUGCAGCAUAGAAUGAAUGAGUCACUCAAUAGAUCUUACUACAUAGCUAGGGAGCAAAUCCUCUACACUCAUGGGUGUAUACAUUAAUCCCAGGGUUGAGCCAAUGAGAUACCGCCAUAUGGCUCCAACCAAAAGAAAAGGUCAAAAUGUACCCAGGUGGCGGCCACAUGGCGGUAUUUCAUUGGCUCGCCCCUAGAAUUGUAUAUACCCAGCGGUGUUGAGAAUUUUGCCCUCCUUACUAUAGUGGAAUUAAUGAAGUUUCAAGGAGUUCUCCCACAUUUAUGAGGCAAAAAUUGUAUGGACAUAAUGUCUAAAUUAGCAUUUUUGGGAUGCCCUGGAUUGGCGCCACGUGUCUCGCAGACGUCCAUCCCCACCAUCCCUUUUCCUCCCUCUACUUCUUUCUCUCUCUAAAAAAAUCAUAUUUUUUUAAGAAAAAAAAUGGACGGUGAGAUGGACGUCUACGAGCCAUGUGGCGCCCAUCUGAAGUGUUCCCAAAAAUGUUAAUUUGUACACUAUGUCCAUACAAAUUUUGCUCGCAUUUAUGAUGAUGGUUGUAUCUACUAGUGUAAGGAGGAAAUUAAUGAAUUGUAACAACAUGCGAUUAGUAAUUGUUUUCUUUUUUUAAAAUUAUUUUGACUCUCUCUCAUAAUAUAUAUCCAAUCCGACUAGAAAUAUAAAAAAUUGGUGCUUCUAAAUUUUUAAUGCUUGAAUCAAUCUCUUUGAUCAUUUCUAAUUUUUAGAUUAAUAUUAUUCUCUUAAUAAUAUUAGGUUGGGGGUUAAGAAGUGGAAUAACUCCUUAAUCCCCAUAUUAUUCCCAAACACCCCAAAAAAUAGGUCGGGUUAGCUAACCUCACCUCAAAUGGGCUAUCCCGGGUUAGCUAACUCCACCAAACCCCACCAAACCCCAACCAAACACUAUUUUCUAUUCAUAAUCCAACCCAACACUAUUUUUCACUAUCCUGUACUAACUCCAAUCCCAAACCAAACACAAAAAUACUCUAACCCCACCUUAACCCUAAACUUAAUCCUAUCUAUGGAAUAACUAGUUUUUUCUUAAUUCCGAACCAAACGGUAGCCUCCAUUUUUCUGCAAAUUUUCUAUUUUGUGAUAACUUUAGAAAUUUUUUUUUAAAAAAAAAUUGUUUAGAUCUUGAUUACUGAUUUCGGAAAUAGAAGAGCUGUUUUGGUGUUUAAUUCUGCUAGGAAAAAAAAAAAAUCGUUAAGGAGACUCGUUGCUACAUGUCAUUUUUAUCCCCUAUUAAAAAAUUAUAAUUUUUUCUAAGAUUUUAUUUAUUUUUUAUUUUAGUAUCAAAAGAUACUGAACGAAUUAUAGAAUACGUACANAAAGGAAAAAAGAAAAAAAAAAAGUCUCAUUUCAAAUCUUACAUGACCUAGAGUACAUUUUGAAAUGAGUCUUUAAUUAUUUUUGUUUUAGCACAAACCUAAUUUUGUAAUUAGAUUCUUAACCUUUACGACUAAUUGCACUAAUGUUCCUUUUGUCAGUUUAGUCAUUAACAUCGUCAACCAUACACCCGCGCAUCACAUCAAGUCUCACUUCAGCAUCGUUAAUGUCGUUUUCCACGGCUAUGAGCAUCUCAACUUGGUGCCAACUGUUUCUUUUAAAGCAUUCGGCGUCUUUGCAUCAAAGAAGUCUUGCCAUCAAAUUCUUUCAAAAAUUUAAAGAAGUCUAAGCCCAAACUGAGCAUAAGCUAUGAGACUAUGACUGAAAUUUAUGAGAGCAAACUUGAUUUUAUUGGAAUUGGUGUGGCAUUUUCCAUCAAAACUAAUAGAAAUUCUGAUGGUCAAAACCCAACUGCAAUAAAAUAUAAAGGUCAGGCAGCGUUUGGUUAGGAGAUAGGAAUAGGAAUAGGCCCUUAUCCCCACCAACACCUUCAUUUUUUAUAUAAAACCACUACAACAGAAUUAGAUUAUAGAGACACAUGUUUGGGACACUUUUGAGUAAGUGUCCCAUUUAUGUUAAAACUUAAAAAAAUAUCUACUAAUGCCUAAAUAUAAAGCCCAAUCCAACCAAAAAUAAAAGAUUUCUCUACUCAACCCACCACGCCCAGUCCAUUUGGCCCGAUUACAAAUAGAAAAGAAAAAAAAAAAAUCAAUUACCAUAUUUUCUUCUCUCUUCACUCAAUCCACUGAAAUUCUAGACGAAGAGCCAUUCCUGUCGUCCUCCUCCGCCACCGCAGCUAACGAGAUAGAGUUUCGGCAGUUGCUAAAUGCUUAAAUAAGUGUUGGUAAAUUAGCAGCAUUUUUUUAGGUUAUAGCGACACUCUUUAACUGUCACUAUAUACCUAGCAACCCUACAUAUAGCAACACUUUUUAAAAGUGUCGGUAAUUUUAGCUAGCAGUACUUUUUUGACAUGUACAUAUAUUUAAAAGUGUCGCUAUAGACCGUUUUUGUUGUAGUGAACUGUCUAAAAUUGUUCUUAUUCCCGAGAACAAUCCAAUUUUCAUCCAAACAUUAUUUUUCUUAUCCCCAUACUUGUACCUAUCCCUGUAAUAGCUAGUUUUUGCUUAUAUCCGAACCAAACGGUACCUGAGAACUAGUAGCAAAAAAAUUAAAAAAAGUUAGGAAAUAAAGUGAAAAGGCGGAUAAAGGUUAAGAACAAAUUGUGGAAUUAAUU